RNAcentral lists this long non-coding RNA (62099 nucleotides) under Populus trichocarpa (black cottonwood). RNAcentral describes it as "long non-coding RNA (PTRI_LNC000222)". The stretch from base 34437 to 34592 matches the Rfam family "MIR2912 microRNA precursor family". The record is from RNAcentral. Lineage: Eukaryota; Viridiplantae; Streptophyta; Magnoliopsida; Malpighiales; Salicaceae.
AAUCCAAAAAAAAACAGAGACAUAGAGAAGACAUAAAGACUUGUGACCUUCCUCCAGCAAAAGGGAACUUCAACUUCCCCUCACCGUAAGUUGUUGAUCCAACCAACAAAUACAAACCCAGAGAAACCAGGACAAAAAACAAAAGCCACAAAGAAGGGGAGAACCACAAACAAAUAAUACAAAAAAACACAGAUGAAAAAUGAACUAACAUAGAUAAUACAGAGAGAGACCAAGAGGAACAAGAAUAGAGAGAGACAGAGGGAACAAGAGAAGUAAAAAAAUAAAUAAAGAGAUGACAAGCAGAGAAAAGCAAGAACAGAGGUGAAGUGAACGAAAAACAGAAGUAAAGGGGAAGAAAGUAACAUUGGUUAGCCAGCCCUCCAUCACCAUCGCCUUCGUCUUUAAGUAGCAGCUCCAGGUAAGUCUUUCUUUCUAUUUCCCCCGCUUUCAAUUCUUAAUAAUAAUUGUAAUAAUAAUAACAAACAUGGAUUGUGGAUCAUAAGGAACAGCAAAUGAAAGGCCUAUUGUCAUGAUAUAUAUAUAUAUAUAUAACAGUAUGUAAGAAAUGGUUACGGUGGCGAAAUUGAAAUCGAUGGCAGCGAGUGAAAGAAGGAUUAUCGCAGAAAUUGAGGUGCUGGGCUGAAAUUAAAAUUGAUGCCAGAAAUGAGAAAACGGCCAAGAAUAAAGAAAACAGAGAGUGAAAGAAGGAGAUUCAAACCUUUUUCGCAGAGAUCAAUGGUCAGACGUUCGCUGCUCAUCUGCUCCUCAGUUGAGUUUCAAAGAUAGAGUAACAUUAAUUAGGUUUAUUGCUUUGAUCUUCUUCUGUCUUUAGUCUUUAGCGUUUUGGCAUUUUAGAUGGAAAAAAACGACGUCGUUUAAUGACAGUGAAAAUAAAAAAAAAAUUGACCGGGUCUCACCCGGGUUUGGCCGGGUGGACCGGGUUUUCCCGGGCCAAUUCACUACAAGAUUUAACAGUUUUACCGACGGAAUUUUUCCGUCGGUGUAAGACACAUAUUCCAUCGGUAAUUAUAUUACCGACGGAAUCAAAGACGGAAAUGAUCCGUCGGUGAAUCGUUCGUCGGUAAUGUUUUGUCCGUCGGCAAAUCCGUUGGUAAUAGAAUUACCGAUGGAUUUACUGACGGAACAGACGCGUCGGUAAUAAUUUUUUUAUUACCAACGGAAUUACCGAGGGAUUUACCGAAGGAAUUACCGACGGAAGUACCGACAGAAGUUCCGUCGGUAAUUCCGUCGGUAAUUAUUGAAAAACAUUUUAAAAAAAAUUCAUUUUAUAAAAUUAUAAAAUAAUUAAAUUAACAUAAAUUAACACUGUAUAAUAUAUACUCAAAAUGCUUGGAAAAAAGAAUAAGAAAAUCAAUUCAAACAAAUUUGCAACAAAUAAAUAAAAUAAAAAAAUAAAUUCAACUAAAAAAAUUCAUAUGAAAAAAAUGAAGUUGCAAUUGCUAAAAAUUUAAAAAUCCUAUAAAUAAAUCUACUAAAAAUUGAUCUCAUAUGAAAAAAAAAUCUCAAAACAACUUUUAUACAAUUAUUAAGAACAAAAACAAUUAAAAAUAAAAUAAAGAACAAAAAUAGUGAAAAAAAUCAUGAAAAAAGAAGAAAAAAGAAAAAUCUUACCUUAAUGUAGUUGCAAGUGAAGCUAAGGAGAGAAAAAAAAUUUCAUUAAGCAUAUUAAUUAAAAAAAAACUAAGAGGAUAAAAGAAGAAAGAAGAAGAAGACAUACCCAAGCAUGGAAGAAAAGAGAAGGAGAUGAGGAGAGAAAAGAAGAGAAAGAAAUAGAUAAGAAAUGAUGUUUUUUACAUAAAGUGAAGAAGAAGAAGAAGACAUACCUUAAUGAUGUUUUUUACAUAUAGUGAAGAAGAAGAAGAAGAAGAAGUAGAAGAACAAGAAGAAGAAUAAUAAUAAUAAGAAACGGGUCUGUCUCUUGUGAAAUAAGGGCAUUCAGGCUUUUUAUUGGGACGCUUUACCGACGGAUUUACCGGUGGAAUUACCAACGGAAUUACCGACGGAAUAAAUUCCGUCGGUGAUUCCGUCGGUAAAUUUGUUGGUAAAAAUGACACGUCAUCAUUUUUUUUUUUGCUUUGUUUUAAUUUUUUUUCCCACGGUAAUUCCCUCGGUAUAUAUGUUUGUAUUUAUCAAUUUUCUGGUAGUGAUUCCCGAGCGGGUUUUUGCCUCAACCCGGACCGGUCCCAGGCCCGGGUCGGCCGGGUCCUGGGUCGACCCGCCGGGCCGGUCCGGGUUUUAAAACUCUACCCAAUUGAGUAAUGAAUGUAACUCUGGUCCCUUGGUUUGAACCACAAGUGACUAACUAGCAGACUAGUCAACAGCCUAUUAGAGGAAUUGAAUGAAAGCAAUUGAAUGCAGGAAGAGGGCCAGACUAGUAAACAGCCAACAGCGGCAGUUCUCCUCCAGCAUGUGCAACUGAGGAGCCGUGAUGAAGGCGACACUCUUCAAAAUAAAUCUUGAAUCGAUUGACUGAUGCUCUUUUCUUCUUUGUCGGUGUAUAAAUUAGUGGUUAGCUAAUUAAUGUCCCACGGCCAGGCUAUCGAUACCAUCCAUUACCAGGAUGAGUGCGAGACUCUUCAAAUCCAAUUGUCGAAUGAAUGUAACUCUGGAAUUAUUCCAAAUCCACAAGUUUGAUAGUGUUGUUUUAAAAUUUUAAAGGGAUGAAAAAAUAAUAAGAAAAAUAAAAAGAAAAAUUAUCAGCACCAAACCAAAAAAGCACUCACCAACUACUUUUUUUAAUAUUAGUUAUAUUUAUUAAAUUACAAAAUUGGAAAUAAACCACCAAUAGAUAAAAAAAAAAGACCCAAUGAAAAUAUACAAAUGGGCGCCCGAAUAGAUAUCUCAAUUAGUGUAAAAGCUAUAUUUCUGUGUCUAUAAAUAUCAGAUAGAUGUUUUUAUGGAAAUAUCUUGUCAAUAAAUAUUAAAAUAUUUGGUAUCGCAACACGAAGCAUAUAUCUUAUCGUGUUUAAUAAUGUUUUCAUUUGAAUAAAUUUUGUAUUUAAUCAUAUGAUUAUCCAUGCCAAUAAAACGAUGUUUACCCAAUAUAAUUUUAUUUAUUUAUUUUGUAUUUCAAAAUAUUAUGAAAUCAGCAUCACAUGCUUAUAUUUAAUUAAUUAAUUAAAUGAAAAAAAUAUCUACAAAAAAGAGAAAUUAAAAAAAACAACAACAAAUAAAAAUACUCGAGAUAUCCCGCGUCAUUUUCAAAAUAAGUGAAAAAUCCUAUAGAAAAAACAUAUAAAAAAAAAUCAAUGGAGCCCGAUAUCCAAUUAAAUAAAAGUUAAAGGAUGAAACUGAAAUAAACAUGAGUUUAAAAAAGGAAAAAAACCAAGCAAACUCGGGCAAACCUCCUAAACCUUGGUUAAUUUCUAAAACUUGCAACUCAUGAAAUCCUAGACUCGAGCUUGAUUACGAAGCACAAUUCUCAACUAAUUUAAUAUUGAAUAAUGAAAACAUGAAAAAAUCAAUUUAAAAAAAAAUAUCAAAGUGAAAAAACAUAGCAAUCAAAAGAAUGAUGAUUAAAUCUGAUAGGAAAAAAAACUUAUGAAGGAUGAUAUUGUAAAAAAAAUCAAAUUAAAAAAUUAUCUAAAAUAAAAAAAUAGCAAUAAAAAAAAUAGGGAUAAAUUUGAAAGAUAAAAAAACUAAAAAGGGAUGAAAUUGUCAAAGAAUUUGGAUUUAAUAAAUUAUUCCAAACAAAACAAACAAUGAUAAAAAAAACAUCACCAAAUCGGAAGGAAUAACAAAUUAAUUCUUAAUGACUAAUGAAUGUAACUCCGGUCCCUUGUUUGAACCACAAGUGACUCACUAGAUAUCUCAAUUAAUGAGAAAGCAGACUACUAAACAGCCAACAGUGGCAGUUCUCCUCCAGCACCAGCAACAGACGAGCCGUGACGAAUGCACCACUCUUCAAAAUUAUCACAAUGCGAGACUCUUUAAAAUUGAAAGAAAAAAAUAAUAAAUUCACCACCUAAUAAUUAAAAAAUAAAAAUCCAAAAAUAAACAUUGGUUAGAGAUUUAGACAUUGAGUUACUUAAGUCCAAGGAAGACUGCAUCCUUUGAAAUGAAAGGUUAUCUCCACAAUGCAUUUUAAAAAAUUUAUUCCAUGCAUGAUAUUAAUUAUCUAAAUUUAUUUCUAAUCUUAUUCAUGAUUUAUUUUAAUAAACAAUUGGUGUCGGUCCAUAAAAAAAGAAGACUCGUCGAUAAAAAGAAAUCUUGAUGUCAAUCUCUAAAACUAGAUAUUCAUUGGUUUAAAAACUUUUGACGUUAAUCUUUAAAAACAGGAGAUUUCAUCGAUUUAGAAAAAAACUUUGGCAUUAAUCUUUAAAAAUAUAUGAUUUCAUCGAUUUAGAAAAAAUUAGACAUUAGUCUCUAAAAUAGAUAAUUUCAUCAGUUUUUGAAAAAUAUGAUAUUAAUCCUUAAAAAUAGAAAAUUUCAUUGAUUUAGAAAAAAAAAUUAAUAUUAAUCCCUAAAACUAGGUGAUUUCCUCGAGAUAUAUAUAUAUAUAUAUAUAUAUAUAUAUAUAUAUAUAUAUAUAACAUUUAUAUUUUUUUGAAUCCAAUACAAUAUAUACAUAUCUCAAUAGCGAUAUAACACACACACACACACACAUAUAUGUAUAGUAUUAUUAAUUUUAUCAUUUAAUACAUGUAUACAUAUUUCAAAUAUAUCUAGUACUAUUUUAUUUUUUGUUGAAUAUUAAAUAACAGUAGAUAUAAAAAAACUAUCCCUUAGAUAUCCAUUGUGAUCCUUAUUGAUAUACUCGAAAUCCAAUAAAUAAAGUAUGAAUAUCUGAAUUUUUUACUCGAUGAAUACUGGGCAGGGUAUAGAUAUAAAAAAACUAUCCCGUAGAUAUCCAUUGUGAUCCUUAUACAUAAUUUCAAUAUAUAAAAUCAAUGCAUCAAUACAUUUAUUUUUCUUUUACAAUGAUAAAAUGAUGAUAAAUGCAAAAUAUACAUAUGUUUUUAUUCCUUUUACAUUAUGCUUUUAAUGUGUUUUAAGCUUAUUUGAGCUCAUUAGCUUAUUUGAGCUCAUUGAAAGUAAUUUUAUGAGUUUGGCAUGCCUAAAAGACUUGGUGAAUUAAUUGCUAAAAGAUAAUAAAUUCUGCAUUUGAUGUUUCGAAUCUUGGUUUUUCUGACAGGUUUUUCACCAAGUUGGAGUUACAGAAUGGGAACGUGGCUUAAUAAAGGUUGAACUACACAUAUCCAGCUUUUCAAGAAGAUAUUAUGGAAAGAAAUCUGAUCUUAUUUGAAACUCUAAUAAGACCUGCAAAACCGGGAGGAAAGAAAAGAAGGGUCCCUCUACUGCUGCUACUGGAUUGCAUUUUCUCCCGGUUGCUGGAGUUGUUGAUGACGUUGCUGCUAAUCUUGACUGCAACCAACGUUGGGGAUGGAGAUCUCCACAAUGCAUUUUAAAAAAUUUAUUCCAUGCAUGAUAUUAAUUAUCUAAAUUUAUUUCUAAUCUUAUUCAUGAUUUAUUUUAAUAAACAAUUGGUGAGGGACAGGGAUGAUGUUGUUGCUGUGGCGCAGAGAAGAAGUUCCUGCUGGAUUGGGGGAAAGAGGAGACGAAGGCCUCUCUUGCAACACCGGAUGAAAAUCUAUAUGGUGGCUUUUAGAGGUUGAAGGGGGUCCUCUAUUCUGCUGGGUCUGUGAGAUGAGGGAGAUGAAAGGUGGUCUUUUCUUUUUGUGUUCUGCUCAGUCUAGGUUUUGAGGAUGAACUGAGGGGGAAAAGGGAUGAGUUGAGAGCCAUUUAUGGAGGCCGGGGAAGAAGAAAAGGAAAGGGCUGGGGGGGGCUAGUAUAGGGUUCAUCGCCCCCUCCUCUCUUAUUUUUUUAUGUUUCUCUCUUAUAGGGUUUCUGAUUAUUGCCUCCCUCUAGGGUUUCUUGUAAUUGUCUCCCCCCCCUUUUUACAUACACUAAAAUUUGUAUUUAUAGUGCAAGAGUCUCAUCGCGUGUAAGAAAUAAAGUUUCAAUCAAACUCAUUCUCUUCUUUAAAGUUUGAAUUUGAUUAAGAAUCAAAUUCGAAAGCGGAUAACUAUUCUUAUCUUGAAGAUAAGGAUAGAACGAAAAAAGCACAUUGUAGUCCCUAGUUUUCGUGCAAGCUGACAAAUCACAUUUUUCAUCGAAAUAAAUCUCUGAUCUUUUAAUUUUACGUUUUAAACCCCGUAAAAUUAAAUCAAAAGCCAACGGGCCAAAAUUAGAUUAUAACAGUUGCCUCCUUUUUACAAUGCUUGCGGUGCAAAGGCAUCAAAAAAUUCAUUUUCUUUUGACUCUGAAUAGUAAGUUUUGUAAAGAAAAAUAAGCAUGAAAACCCUUCCUCUUUUCUUUUGAUUGAUUUUUUUGUUUGUUUUUUUUAAAAAAAUGGUCUAAUUGUUCCAGGCGACCUACCCGAUGAUAAAAUGAUAGCAAACUCGCAAGUGGUCUAAUUGUUCCAGGCAACUUGCCCCGUGGAAAGAAUAAAAUGCGAAAAGGAUUUACGAGUAGUCUAAUUGUUCCAGGUGACCUGCCCAAUAGGAAGAAGAAAUGCGAAGGAUUUUGCGAGUGGUCUAAUUGUUCCAGACGACCUGCCCGAUGAAGAAUAAAACGUGAAAAGAAUUUCGCGAGUGGUCUCAUUGUUCCAAGCGACCUGCCUAAUAGGAAGAGGAAAUGCAAAAGUUUUCUGUGAGUGGUCUAAUUGUUCCAGGCACCCUGCCCGAUUAAGAAUAAAACGCGUAAGGGAUUUCGCGAGUGGUCUCAUUGUUCCAGGCGACCUGCCCGAUAGGAAGAAUAAAACGCAAAAAGGUUUUCACGAGUGGUCUAAUUGUUCCAGGCAAUCUGCCCGAUGAAGAAUAAAAUGUGAAAAUGAUUUUGUGAGUGGUCUCAUUGUUCCAGGUGACCUGCACAAUAGGAAGAGUAAAACGCGAAAAGGAUUUUGCUAGUGGUCUAAUUGUUAUAGGCGACCUGUCCGAUGAAGAAUAAAACGUGAAAAGGAUUUCGUGAGUGGUCUAAUUGUUCCAAGCGACCUGCCCGAUGAAGAAAAAAAGGUGAAGGAUUUCAUGAGUGACCUAAUUAUUCUUCGUGACCUGCCCGAUGGGAAGAAUAAAACACGAAAAGGAUUUCGCGAGUGGUCUCAUUGUUCUGGGCGAUCUACCCAAUGAUAAAAUGCGAGGAAUCUUGCAAGUGGUCUCAUUGUUCCAGGAGAACCUUCCCGAUGGUGAAAAAUACAAAGAGAGAUUUCUCCUUUGUUUUGAAAAAUACAAGGAUUUUUCAUAAAUGGUCUCAUUGUGAUAGAUGACCUUCCCAGGUGAAAAAAUAAAAAGGUGGAAAAAUACAAAGUUUUUUUUAGAAGUGGUCUCGUUGUAACGGGUGACACCCAGGUGGAAAAAUACGGAGAUUUUUCGGGUGGCCUAAUUCUUGUAGGCGGUCUACCUUGGUCAAAAUAUUUCUCAAAAGUGAGCAAUUUUCACAAGCAUUUUUAGUUUUUGGCCAUUUCGAGGUAGCCUUCCUUUUGAGGGAUCCCAUUAGGGAUUUCUCUUGUGAAAUUUGCAUAACACAUUCUUCAAUGUUUCAAAGUCUAGAUGAUAUGUGUGCACCUUUACUUGAUUUGAAACAUAGGUCCCCUUUCUUCUUAAUCUUCUUGUUACUUGAUUGAUGAGGACUUGUUAUUUCUGACUUGGGUCAUCUUUGUCAUUUGGCUUCUAGCCCACUCGAGUUGGCCCAUGUGAGUCUCUCCCCAGAUUUGUUACAACUCAGCCUUCAUGGUGUCCAUCGUGCCCCACUUGCUUACUAGAGAUUUCUGUCUCGUCGGAUAAUUUGAGUGGAUUAUUCAUUACUCCUCGUCGCCCUACUAAAAACACUCGGUGUCACUUGUUGAAAGGAUCAAGCUGCCUUUUUGUAAACCAAAUUGCCCCCUUAUGUUGUUAUAGGAAAUGUUCCUCUCUUUUCCUUUUCUUUUUUUCUAAAAGGGAUCGAUUUUCCUUCUAAACACAAUGUUGCCCCCUUAUACUAGCUAUUGCUCCUAGGUGUGCUCUGUCAACGACUUAGACAAAUAAUGGUUUCAAGUCACCAUUCUUUCAUUUUUCUCCUUUUCAACUAGGUGAAGGAAUAUGUGUCUAGAAUGAAUUUUGAAAUUUUGAUCUUGCAUUUUGAAAACAAAAAUUAUUUCGAUGUGAGUUUUAAAACAAUUUGCUUUUGAAAUCUUGCAACUCCUUGGUUAUUUUCUUUCUUGGAAAAGAGAGGAUUUUCUCUUGUGUUUGAUGAUAUUGUCAUUAGUGAAGGUACGUCAUGAGGUGACCUUUUGUUUCUUGUGGGUUUCCAAGUGAACGACUCAAGAAAAAGCUUGAGGUUGUGUUUGAGAAAAAAUUGUCUCUUUUUGAACACAUUUUAUCAGCAUGAAUAAGAAUGAGUAGCUUGUUCUCGAUGUCAUGACUUUAAUGAAAAAGUACUCUUUGCAUUUUGAGAGCAUUGUUUAUUGUUCCAAAUUGCUUGUUUGCUUGAUUAGAAAGGACUUCUAUAGACACGUAACGUAGGCCGUGGUUCUUGGCUUUGAAAGAAAAGGAUUCAUAAGGCUCAAAAAGUGUUUCAGGGUUUCAAAGACUGAGGAUCACUAUCAGUAGUUUGACUCUUUGUGUCUUUCAUCUUUCUUUUUUUGCCGUUCUAUUUGAUUUCCCUUUUUCUUUUUUCAUUGCUUUGCUAGGGCAGACUCACUUUAUCUUGGUUAUAACUCUUUCUUGUGAUUUAGGCAUACCCCCUAGCAUUUGAGUUGUUUGGGCUCUUUUGCCUCUUUGGCUUUCUCACGACUUUUUCUGCUUUUUUGAUCAUUGAAAUUUUCACUUGCCCCCAGUGUGGGGGUGUGAUCCUAGUCGAGAUUUUUAUGAAAGAAAAUUUAUUCAGGCUCAAAAUGGGAUAUAUAUAUUUUUUAGAAUGUGAAAGGAAUAACAAAGAUGGUCUUUCCUCAUUCUAAGCACAAGCAGUUAAGAUCAAUAAACUUUGACCUCGUUCAAUAUGAUAGUUUAGACUUUUGUAAAGAAAUACAUUUCAUGAGUCCAUGAGCAACGGGUUCACUACAUAUCGUUAUGCAUACAUUUAAAAUACCUAGUUCAAGAGUCAUGGUGUGAGGGUGACGGUUCAUUUUCUAUUCAUGCCUUGGUUUAGAGUUUAGUCACCUCAAUGAAGGAGUUGCUUGAUUCAUGUGUCAUUCUACUAGUAGAAUGUCAAAAAUAUCAUUUUAAAUAAACAUCAAAUCAUUUUUUGAAAUCAAAAUGCAAGUUCAAUUUUUCAAAAUUCCACUAGGGGAAAAGAUUUUGGUAAAAGAAAUGAAUCGCAUCUAUAAGAUCACGUGAGGCUUCAAAAGUGUAUUUGUGAGUUCUUUAGGGGGAAACCCCUUUCAGGAUAUUUGGCUAUAAAUCAAAGGAAGAGACGCAAUUAAAGGACAAACUCAUUAUUUCAUUGAAAUUCUAGAAAAAAAGGCUUAACACAAAGACCUUAUACUAACAUCUUGAGUUACGAGGAAGGUGACAUAUAAAAGGGCUAAACACUUAGCAUUUAUUGAUUGGAAUUUCUAGAAUCUUCCAAUUGUCCCUCUCCCAUGAAUUCCUCGACAGGGGCACCUUUCUAAUAGUCCGUUGAGGUUACGCAUAAACCAGUCUUAGCCUAAUGACAUUAUGGCUUCAUCUUCAGGACGAUUGAUCUCUAGGUGUCUUUGUUUUGGUAGUUCUUUCUCUCGCCUUUGUAACCACUUUUAAUUUUGUGAAGCUCGGUUUCUUUCCUUUUUCCAGUGAAACUUUUCUCCUCAUUCGAGUCAACAAUCCUUUCCAAACGGAUGGCUUGUUCAAUCCUCUCAGCUAUAUCAACCAAGUCAGAAAAACGUUGUGCAAAGCUUCCCACCAGGUAUUCAAAGUAUGGUGCUUUGAAAGUGUUGCAGAAUAAACUUAUCAUCUCUUUCUCCAAUAGUGGGGGAUUAACCUGUGUAGCUGUCUCACGCCAUCUUUGGGCGUGUUCCCUCAUGCACUCUUUAUUGCCCUUUUCCAUGGCUUGUAAGCUUGACCUAUCAGGAGCCACAUCCAUGUUUAAUUUGUAUUGCCUAACAAAGGCAUCGACUAGGUCCUUCCAUCCUUUCACCUUGGUGUUGUCCAGACGCAUGUACCAGUUGAGAGCGUCAUCACUUAAACUGUCUUAGAAGAAGUGGAUCAACAACUUCUCGUCAUGUACUACUUCAACCAUCUUAUUGCAGCAUGCCUUAAGGUGGAUUAUCGGGCAUUGAGUUCUAAUGUACUUAAUGAAUUCUAGCACCCUAAACUUCUUAGGAAUGACAACGUUAGGUACCAAACACAAAAUGUUUCCCUCAACUACCAUCAUACAAAUUGUUUCCCUCAGCUGCCAUCAUCCUCUGUUCUAGGGCAACCCAUUUUUCCAGACCCCUAUCUUCUACCAUUUUGUCCUUGUGAGACUCCUCUAAGGUUAGCUCAGGGAUCCUUAUUGGAUAUACAAGCUGAGCUGGGAAAUGCACAGCGUAUUGGGGCUCAAGUGAGGUUAUACAUGCCCCCAAGUUUGGCGGAUUGAAAGGAGCUGUAAACGUUGGCGGAAGCUGGGCUAUAAAUGUUGGUUGGGAGGAUGUCUCUUCUCCCGACUUGGAUCUCAGAGCCUGCUCAAGUAGGCUAGUAAGUCUAGCAACAUCUUCUUUCAAACUGUCCAACUCCUUUUGAUGUUGGGCAUCCAGUUGAGCUUUUUCUUUGUUUUCCAAUUUUUUUCGCAACCGCGUGUUAUAAGAGUGUGUUUUAAUGGGGGGCUAUAUUUUACCAGUUUGUGCAAUAUUAUGACAAUUCAUAAGUGUAUGUUCAACAUGCAUGAGUAUGAAAUACAACAUAUUGGGUAUGGAUUUGCUCUUCAAGGGGUGACAUAACGAUCGUUAUUCUCUGGAUGUGUGGUCAAAUCCGAAUCCAAUAUCAUUAUUGCAAUGCGGAGAGUAUAUCUGCUUAGCCUUUUGUCAUCUGAGCUUUCAGCGAUAUAUGCUUGGUGUCUUUUAUUAUGCAUAUAAUGUCUUUAAGUAGCGGUAUCUCACUAACAUCCAAUUUAGGGCAGUCUCCCUCGGUCAUUUGCAAGGAUUCAGACUCGAGUCCAUACUCAAUAGUUGUUAUCUUAGGAAUAACAACCAUUAUGUCACUCGAAAGCCCUGUAAUAAGGAUGCUUACAUGUUUAAGCUUAUCUUAGUGAAAUUACAUAGGGAUCAACCUAAAUGGUAGGUUCUAGUCAUUAAAUGGAUUAAGGUAAUUUUGUUAUCUAGUCUCAAAGGUCUUCUGCAUGCUCAAUGAUCGUCCUCAAAAGGUUGAUAUGAGGUUUACAAGCAGCGUGAAGAUAAAGGUCUUGAGUAAUAUCAGUUCGGCAUAUCGACCACUAUCGAGCAAACAAUCGUGCGAGAGUUGGAUAGUUUAGCGAGCCUGACCCAGGCUAAAGCCAUUGAGGUGUCGUUACUCCUCCACUUAUCUUAAAGUUGAUACCAUACGUAAAAAAUGAGAUGAGUGAUGUGUGAAGGCCUUAGAUCCAUAUCCAAUGUAUAUGCAUGAUAAGCAUAAAUAACUAUGCAUGCUAAAACAGUAAAAAGAGAAAAACAAAAAAAAACUUGAUAAACACAACAUAGCAACAAUAAAGAAAAAAAAUAGUACGACAAAUAUUGUUUAGCAAUAAAAAAGAAAAAAACAAAGCUUAGUCAUAAUUUCCCAAGUGGAGUUGCCAUUCUGUCACACCUGGACAUCAUGGUGACCGAUCAAAAAUAUUUUCUCAUGGAAAAAAAAAAGAACAGAUAUCUGACAUCUUGUUCUUUGGGAGAAAAGGGUCUAGUUUAAGGAGUCGCCACCUGGUAUUAUGGUCACUAGAAACCCUAACUGGUCAACAUAGAUUCUUUGGUACGGACUGGUUACGCGAAAGAGAAGAUAUUAUCACCCCUUAAGCAUCCUACCUAAGUUAGGCUGCAUUGCGGGUUUUGUCUUAAAUUGCUAAAGGUUUGUUUUUUUUCUGUUCUUAUGGUCUUCCUAUAAUAUUCCUAACUUUGGCGUUAGUGAAUAUUCACCUAUGAAUAUUUUUCCAACUCUAGCGAUUGAUAAAUAUUGUGCAACCCAAAAAGUACGAUAUUCCUAACUUUGACGUCAGUAAAUAAAUCCACAAAAUUUUGAAUUAAAAAAAACAAAAACUAUUUUUUUAAUCAUUUUUUUUGUUAUUUAUGUAGCCCGGUCUCAAAACUUAAAACAAAAAAGGGUCGGGUCACUGGUCCAAAUCAAUGACCCGGCUAGCCACUGUUGCACGCAUGCGUGAAUGUUUCAUGCAUACAUGCAUGCAACAGUAACCAGUUAAUUAUUUUAGCAAGCAAGGAAGGAAACUUACCUGGGUGUGCUGUUGCUGGAGGCGAAGUCGAGGGAGACGGCUGGGCGCUGCUCAUGGUUGUCAGUCCAACCUGCUGCUCACAGUGGAGUUGGGGUGCUAUCGCGAAGGAGAUCUUCCAAAUUGUUGUUGCACUAGAAAAUGAAGAUGACGGUGAUGGAGGGCUGCAAAAUAAAAGAAUAAAGUGAGAGUUGUGUGGAAGAAGAAUUACAUAAUGGUAUUUUAUUACUUGAUUAAAUACUGUUACAUCAUGGUCCUAUAUAUAUUACAAUUCUUUGGUUAAAAAAUGCUAUAAUUAAGGAUGCAAUGAAUGAUAAGAUAUACACUUAAUUCCUAGAAUAUCUGUUGCAGAUAUGAUCACAAUUAUCUUCAGUAUUAGUAAUCUCUUGUGCAAAUAUGAUAUUAUCUUCAGUAUCAAUAAUCACUAAUCAUGAUUAUCUUUAGUAUCAGUAAUCUCUUGUGUAGAUAUGAUCACUGAUCACGAUUAUCUUCAGUAUCGGUGAUCCCUGAUCAUGAUAGGAAUCCCUGAUCAUGAUUAUCUUCAGUAUCAAUAUUAUCUUCAGUACAUUUGAUAAUAUCUUCAACACGCCCCCACAAUCUGAACGGGAAGCGAGGGCUCAAAGGCGCGCUCGACAUGAAGUGAGGGCUCAAAGGCGCGCUCGAAAGGAAGCGAGGGCUCAAAGGCGCACUUGAAAAGAAAAUGAGGGAUCAAAGGCGCGCUCGAAAAGAAAAUGAGGGCUCGAAGGCGCACUUAAAAAGAAGGGAGGGCUCAAAGGCACACUCGAAAAGAAGCGAGGGCUCAAAGGCGCACUCGACAUGAAGCGAGGGCUCAAAGGCGCACUCAAAAGGAAGCGAGGGCUCAAAGGUGCACUCGAAAAGAAUCAAGGGCUCGAAGGCGCGCUCGAAAGGAGGUAGGGUUAGGAAAUGCACUACCUUGGAUGGUCGAGGGCUCGAAGGCGCCCUCGAAAGGGGGUAGGAUUAGAAAACGCACUACCUUCAAAGAUCAAGGGCUCGAAGGCGCGUUCGAAAGGGGAUAAGGUUAGGAAACACACUACCUUAAAUGGUCGAGGGCUCGAAGGCGCACUCGAAAGGAGGUAGGGUUAGGAAACGCACUACCUUGGAUGGUCGGGGCUCGAAGGCACGCUCGAAAAGGAGGUAGGGUUAGGAAACACACUACCUUCGAUGGUUGAGGACUCGAAGGCGCGCUCGAAAGGGGGUAGGGUUAGGAAACACACUACCUUUGAUGGUUAAGGGCUCGAAGGCGCACUCAAAAAGAAGCGAGGGCUCAAAGGCACGCUGGAAAAGAAGCGAGGGCUCAAAAGCGCGCUCGAAAAGAGGUAGGGUUAGGAAACACACUACCUUGGAUGGUUGAGGGCUCGAAGGCACGCUCGAAAGGAGGUAGGGUUAGGAAACGCACUACCUUGGAUGGUUGAGGGCUCGAAGGCGCGCUCGAAAGGAGGUAGGGUUAGGAAACGCACUACCUUUGAUGGUUGAGGGCUCGAAGUCACACUCGAAAAGAAACGAGGGCUCAAAGGCGCGCUCGAAGAAUGUGAGGGCUCGAAGGCGCACUCAAAAGGAGGUAGGGUUAGGAAAUGCACUACCUUAGGGAUGAGAAAUGAAAGGUGGUGGAAAAAUACAAAGAUUAUUUUUUCUAUGGCCUGAUUCUCAUAGGCGGCCUGCCCAGGUUAAAAUUUCUCAAAUGUGAAAAAUUUCCAAAAGCAAUUUCAAACUUGGCCAUUUCAAGGUGGCCUUCCAUUUGAUGGAUCUCGUUAGAGAUUUAUCUUGCUAAGUUUGCAAAACUUGUUGUCCAAUGUCUCAAAGUUUAGAUGAUAUGCAUGCAUCUUUACCUGAUUUGAAAUAUAGGCCCCCAUUUCUUCUUAAUCUUCUUGUUUGCUUGAUUGAUGAGGACUUGCUAUCUCUGAUUUGGGUCAUCUUCGUCGUUUAUCUUCUAGCCUACUGGAGUUGGCCCAUGUAAGUCUGUUCCCAGAUUUGUUUACACAGCUUAGCCUUUAUGGUGUCCAUCGUGACCCACUUGCUUGCUAGAGAUAUUUCAUCUCGUCAAAUAAUUUGAGAGGAUCAUUCAUUAAUCCCCGUCUCACUUUUAAAAACAUUCCUUAACACUUGCUGAAAGGAUCAAGCUGUCUUUUAUAAACCAAGAUGCCCCCUUGUUUUGUUGUAGGAAAUGUUCAUCUCUUUUUCUAGAAGGGAUUGAUUUUUCCUUCUAAACAUAACGUUGCCCCCUUGUACUGGUCAUUGCCUCUAAGUAUGUUCUGUCAACGACUCAGACAAAUAAUGGUUUUAAGUGAUCAUUCUCUCAUUUCUCUCCUUUUCAGUUUGGUGAAAGAAUAUAUGUUCAAAAUGAAUCUUGAAAUCUUGAUCUCGCAUUUUGAAAACAAAAAUUCUUUUGAUGUAAGUUUGAAACAAUUUGCUCUUGAAUUCUUGCACCUCAGUUUUUUUCCUUGGAAAAGAGAUAUUUGCUCUUGUGUUUGGCGAUAUUGUCUUUAGUGAAAGUAUGUCAUGAGGUGACUUUCUAUUUUUAUGGGUUUCAAAGUGAAAGGCUCGAGAAAAAGCUCGAGGUUUUAUUUGAGAAAAAAUUUCUCUUUUUGAACCCUUUUUUUAUCAGCAUGAAUAUUAAUAAAUAGCUUGUUCUCGAUGUCAUGACUCCUAUGAAAAAGUACUCUUUGCAAUUUGAGAGCAUUGUUUAUUGUUCCAGGUUGCUUGCUUGCUUGAUUAGAAAGGACUUCUACAGGUACGUAAUGUAGGCUAUGGUUUUUGGCUAUGAAAGAAAAAGAUUCAUAAGGCUCAAAGAGUGUUUCAGGGUUUCAAAGACUGAGGAUCACUAUCAGCAGUUCGACUCUUUAUGUCUUUCAUCUUUUCUUUUGCCGCUUGUUUUGAUUUGCCCUUUUUUUUUCAUUGCUUUUUUAGGGCCUACUCACUUUAUCUUGGUUAUCACUUUUUCUUGUGAUUUGGGCAUGCCCCCUAACAUUUGAGUUUCUUGGGCUUUUUUGCCUUUUCAGCUUUCUCACGGCUUUUACAUCUUUUCUUAUUGAAAUUUUCACUUGCCCCAAGUGUGGAGUGUGAUCCUAGUUGGGAUUUUUCAUGAAAGAAACAUUAUUCAGGCUCAAAAAAGAACAGCAAAGGAUAUACUCUUUUAGAAUGUGAAAGGAAUAACAAAGAUGGCUUUUCCUCAUUUUAAGCGCAAGCAUUUAAGAUCAAUAAACUUUGACCUUGUCCAGUGUGAUGAUUUGGAAUUUUGCAAAGAAAUGUAUUUCAUGAGUCUAUGAACAACAAGUCCACUACAUACCAUUAUGUAUACAUUUAAAGCACAUGGCUCAAGGGUCAUGGUGUGAGGGUGAAAGUUCAUUUUUUAUUUGUGCACUUUGCUUGAUUCAUGUGUCAUUCUACAAGUACAUGUCAAAAAUAUUGUUUUAAAUAAACAUCAAAUUAUUUUUGAAAUCAAAAUGCAAGUUUAAUUUUCAAAAUUCCAAUGGGGAAACUGAUUUUGGUAAAAGAGAUGAAUUGAGUCUAUAAGAUCACGCGAGGCUUCAAAAGUGUAUUUGUGAGUUCUUAGAGGGAACCCCUUUUAGGAUAUUUUGGUUGCAAAUCAAAGGAAGAGACACAAUUGAAGGACAAACUCAUUAUUUCAUUGAAAUCCUAAAAAGCAACAAAGACCUUAUACUAGCAAGGUGACACAUAAAAAGGCUAAACACUUAGCAAUCAUCGAUUGGAAUUUUUGGAAUCUUCCAACCGUCCCUCUCCUAUGAAUUCUUCGACAAGGGGCACCUUUCCAAUAGUCAGUUAAGGUCUCACAUAGACCAAUCUUGGCCUAGUGACACUGUAGCUUCAUCUUCAGGAUGAGUGAUCUCUAGAUGUCUUUGUUUUGGUAGCUCUUUCUCUCGCCUUUGUAAUCACCUUCGAUAUUUGUGAACCUCAGUUUCUUCCCUUUCUCAAGUGAAACUUUUCUCCUAAGUCGAGUCAGCAAUAUUUCCUAAAUGGAUGGCUUGUUCAAUCCUCUCAGCUAUAGCAACCAAGUCAGAAAAAUAUUGUGCAUAGCUUCUCACAAGGUAUUCAAAGUAUGGUGUUUUGAAAGUGUUGACAAACAAAUUGAUCAUCUCCUUUUUCGAUAAAGGAGGAUCAACCCAUGUGGCUGUCUCACGCCACCUUUGAGUGUAUUCUCUUAUGGACUCCUUGUUGUCCUUUUCCAUAGCUUGCAAGCUUGACCUAUCAGGGCCUACAUCCAUAUUGAACUUAUAUUGCCUAAUGAAGGCAUCAACUAAGUCCUUCCACUUUUUUUUAUCUUGGUAUUGUCCAACUGUAUAUACCCAGUAAGGGCAACAUCACUCAAACUAUCUUGAAAGAAGUGAAUCAAAAGUUUCUCGUCAUAGACCACCUCAACCAUUUUGUUGCAGUAUGCCUUUAGAUGAGUUACAGGCAUUGCGUUCCUGUAUAUUUGAUGAAUUCUGGUACCCUAAACUUAUUUAGGAAUGACUACGUUAGGUACCAAACACAUCUCGAUGGUUUUCACUGGGUCAUACAAAUGGUUUCCCUUAACUAGGGGUGAGCAAAAAAACCGAUUAAACCGAGAAAACCAGAAAAAAAAUAACCAAAAAAACUGAACCGUGAAAAAAAACCGAUUAAAAUUUUGACAAAAUCAACCGGUUCAGUUCGGUUUCGGUUUCAUAAGCCUGAAACCAAAAAAACCAAACAGAAACGAAUCCAAACUAAGAUCAGAAAAAAACCGAGCCAAAACUGAGUCAAACUGAAAAACCGAGCCAAACCAGUUUGAACCGGUUUUUGGCCUAAAGAACAGAACCGAAACCAGUCGGUUUGAGCCGGUUUCGGUUUUUUUUUUUUAUAAAUAUUUUGGAUUGGUUACUUUUUUUAUAAAAACCAAAUCGAACUGAAAAUGAUCACCCCUACCCUCACCCUCUCUUCUAGGGCAAUCCAUUUUUCCAGACCCUCAUCUCUGACCAUUUUGUCAUUGUGAGACUCUGCAAAGGUUGGUUUAAUAGCAUGAGGGAUCCUUAUUGGGUAUACAAGCUAAGCUAGGAAAUGUGCAGCGUAUUGGGGCUCAAGCUAGGUUCUACUUGUGGAUUGGAGAGAGCUGCAGGCGUCGACGGAAUAUGGGUUGUAAAUGUUGGUUGGGAGGAUGUCCCUUCUCCCGACUUGGAUCUCAGAGCUUGCUUGUAACAACCCCAAUUUCCAACAUCCUUUUUCGCGAUACAUUGAAAAUUUUCAAGUAAUUUUUUUUUUGAUAUACCGGUUACACCAAAUUUCUACCAAAAUUUCGGCAGAGUCUCCCCUAUACUAGGAGGUCCCAAGUUAUCGACAAAAUCAUAUUACACUUCCAAUUUUAAUUCACAUCCUGAUCCAAUGAUCCCAAUUCUCUUGGGUCCUGCGUCGAGUCAGUCCCAAUUCUCUCGGGUCCCGCGUCGAGUCCCAAUUUGUAUUAUAAAUAUUGUUAUUUUUAUUAUAAUUAAAAGUAUUAAUAUAAAAAAUAUUAUUAUUUUUAUUAUAAUUAAAACUAUUAGGGUCUUAGGUUUCUAAAUAUUAUUAUAAAUAUUAUUAUUUUUAUUAUAAUUAAAACUAUUAAUAUUAAAAAUAGUAUUAUUUGUGUUAUAAAUAUUAUUAUUUUUAUUAUAAUUAAUAUUAUUAAUAAAAUAAUUAAUAAAUUUGAAAAAAAUUAUUAUCAAUAUUGAAAAACAACCAUAGAUUUGAUUUGAAUGGUAAAAUUAAAAAUUAUUAUUGUUAUUGUUAUUAUUAAUAAAUUUAAAAAAUACUAUUAUUACUAUUGAAGAAAACCCAUAAUUGUUUUUAAAAGAUUAAAAAAUAUAAGAAUUUGGACAAACAAGUGAAAUAUUAUUAUUUAUAUUAUAAAUAUUAUUAUUAGAUCUAGCAUUGCAGUCAGACUCAAUACUUUUGAAUCUUAGAUUUUUUUAACAUGUUUUAUGAAAAUAAAAAAUUGACUCGUGAUGAAGCGCAGCACACCUAACUUGUGCAAGCUAGAGAUUGUGUUGUUAUCAUCUGCAUAAUCUUAAUCUUAUAGGAUAUGCUAGUUUUUAAAACUUAUGUUUUGGAACGUUCUCUUUGAAAAAACUCCAAGUUGUGCUGCUUAAUUAUUUGUUGUCAACUUUGUUAAGAAAUAUAUGGUCUUUCAAAGAGAAUAUAUCUUAUUUAAUGUUAUUGUUUUUAGUUUUCUUUUACACUUCAACUACUUGAAAUAGAAUAGUGUAAUUAUAACAACUCCUUCGUNNNNNNNNNNNNNNNNNNNNNNNNNNNNNNNNNNNNNNNNNNNNNNNNNNNNNNNNNNNNNNNNNNNNNNNNNNNNNNNNNNNNNNNNNNNNNNNNNNNNNNNNNNNNCAUUUUUCCUGCUAGUGCUGCUCAUCAUCAUCAUAUCAUCAUGAAGGAACAAACUUGAAGGAUAAAGUUACUACAAAGCUUUUCUCUAUCAUUGGAAUGUUUUGUUUGUCAUAUAAGCUUCGCAUGUCUUUUGCAGUUUAGAUUUGAAAACUUCAUAACAUAUUUAUAUACACUAUAACUUUUUUAGAAGUGUUUGGAUGAAAGUUUUGAAUUAGUGAAGUAUCCAAUGUUAUUUACUGAACACACUAUACUUGUUACUUCUGCAAUGGUCUGAAAUAUUGGUGCCAGACAAAUUUCAAAGAUUAGCUUGGAGACUAAUCUCGAGUAGUAUUUACUACUUGGAGUAUUUGGUUAUUGAAGAACAAAAUUGUUUUUGAGGAGGGAACUAUAAGCUUGUUUGAUUGUUUCUCCAUUAUCCUUUAUCGGGUUACUAUUUAGUUGCAUAUUCUGGAUUCAAACUUCACUUAUACAGGAAAUGAUCUUUUAAGAUCUUAUGAUGACAUCAAAUUAUGAUGUAAUAAUAAAUCUUAGGUAAUUCUUUUGUUUUUGUUGUAGUAGAUUAAUUUUAUUAUUUUCCUAAAUUUGUUCCUUUUUUUUUGUUAUGUUUCUAUAUUUUAUCUUGGAUGUUAACACCUUUUUAAUAUACUCUGGAUAAUUAUAUAUAAAAAAAACAAUUCAUAUUUCCUGCACCAUUAACAUCAUCCAGGUAUGAUGCUCGUUUCAAAGCCUCUUAACGGCAAUAAUUACCUGACACAGAGCUAGUAGGGCCAUGAUGAUUUCUUUGAAUGCCAAAUCCAAGCUAGGUUUUAAGAUGGAACCACUACCAUGCUGUUUAAAACAAACAAGCCAGAUGAGUAUGCUUCAUGGAAAAAGUGCAAUGAUAUGAUUCUCUCUUGGAUUCUUAAUUCGCUCACAUAAGACAUUGCGGACAAUGUCAUUUUUUCAGCCACAUCACAAGUGGUAUGGGAAGACUCUCGGGAUCAUUUUUCACAAAGCAAUGCUCCUUAUCAUUUUUCAGAUUGAACGAGAUAUUUCUUAUCUUACUCAAGAUCAGAUGACUGUUGCGGUUUACUACACAAAACUUAAAGGAUCCUAUAAUAAUACCAUUUGUUCUUGUGGGGCAGACCAUAGAAGACACCGACUGAUGCAGUUCCUCAUGGGACUCAAUGACACCUAUAGUGCCAUUCAGGGUCAGAUUAUGUUGAUGAACCCAUUACCUGACGCUGCUAAGGCCUAUGCUUCUGUUAUGCAGGAAGAGAAGCAGCGUAGCCUGAGGAGUAUUCAUGAAAUAUUAGAUAAUUCUGCCAUGGCUGUGCGGAAGGCAGAAUCAGUGGCCCUGGCUGCUAGACGUGGACAAUGUGCUCAUUCUCGUUCUUUAUCUGCUAACCCUUGCAUUGCUCUUACUAUGAUUGUGGUCAUCAUAUGCGAGAAACCUGUUGGAAACUGAAUGGAUAUUCACCAUAACACCCUAAAAAUCCAUCCAACAAGUUUGCUCCAGGCAGGCUCAGUUCAAGCGCAAUAAUGGCACUCAGUUUUCUACUAACAAUGUUAAAAAGGGUUAGCUCAUGCAUGAGGCAUCUUCAGUUAUGACUGGAUUUUCAGAUUUGCAUAUUCAGCAAAUACUAUCCAUCAUACAGGGGAAGGGCACAAUACAACCUAACAAUGCUAUGACCACUCCAAAAGCUAACGCAGCUGACACCUCUACAGGUUUGUUACCAACAACAUCCAUGCUCCACCAGCUGAUUAUAGCUGAUUAUUGAUAGUGAAGCGACAGACCAUAUUAUUUCCUCUCCAAAUUUGCUUAUCAACAACAGCAACAAUGGAGCUUUACCAUCAGUCACAUACCAAGUGGAGAACAAGCCUCUAUUACUUCCAUUGACUCUUUACCUUUGAAUUUUGCAAUUGUUUUAAAAAAUAAUUGUAGUGCAUCUUUUUUAAGGUAGACUUAAUAUCUGUUAGCAUAUUUAUCAAAAAAUUGAAUUGCUCAGUAAUUUUUUUUUAUUGGUGUAUUUUACAGGACUUGAUGAUGAAGAUGAAGAUUGGUUCGGAUAAACAACAAGAUGGUCUUUAUUACUUGGUUUCUUUGAUAUCAAACAAACAAUGACAUCCAUCAGUAGUAACAACCACUUCUUACUGUCCUUCCAACUCUCAAGUCUCCUUUUCUACAACUUUAUGGUAUUAUUGUGUAAGGUAUUUGUCCUCCUCUAGAUUAGGCUUUAUGGUAUUAUUUAACCAGUUCAAAAAUGCUUGUGAUGUUUGUUCACUUGCAAACCAAAGUCAACUUUCAUUAUCUAUUAGUUCAAUUUCGUUUAUUAGACUUUUUAAAUUAAUUUAUUGUGAUAUUUGGGCCUUAUAAGAUUGCUUUCUAGUUCAAAAUAAUANNNNNNNNNNNNNNNNNNNNNNNNNNNNNNNNNNNNNNNNNNNNNNNNNNNNNNNNNNNNNNNNNNNNNNNNNNNNNNNNNNNNNNNNNNNNNNNNNNNNUCCUCAUUUUUCCAAACACAACUCCAUAUUUCUAUAGCCAAUAUCCAGGUUGAUAAUCUAUAUGUGUUUUUUUUAAACACAGGGACCACUUAUCAACAUUCUUGUAUUUAAACUCCUAAACAAAAUAGGGUUGAGAGCACAAACAUCAUUAUAUUCUUGAGUCUACACAAGCCCUUCAUUUUCAAGCUCAUCUCCCUUUACAUUUCUAGGUAGAUUGUGUUUGUACAACUGUUCAUUUAAUUAAUCGUUUUUCCAUAUCACUUCUUAGCAACAAAACUCCUUUUGAACGCCUUUAUAACCAACCACCCUCGCACCAUCAUCUUGGAGUUUUUGGGUGUCUUGCAUAUGCUACUAAUAUGUGUUAGAGAAUAAUAUAAAUCAUAUCCUAAGACCUCAUCUAACAGCAUAAGUUUUUGGGUUGAGAUAGUUCUUUGACAUGGCAUCAGAGCCUUGAUGACUAAGCGGUCACGAGACAUGGUAUCAGAGCCUUGAUGACUAAGCAGUCACGAGUUUGAAUCUCAUCAUCCUCUAUUUAUUUGAUAAAAAUUAAGCACAAAGUAAUAUGGGCCUGUGCAAGUUUCAAGCCCAAAGGGCUUUCACUUGAGAGGGUGUGUUGGAGAAUAAUAUAAAUCAUAUCCUAGGAACUCACCUAAACAGCUUAAGCUAUUGGAUUGAGAUGGUUUUUUGACAAUAUGCAUGUUACCCAUAAACUUGCUCCUCGUGUUAAACGUUGUGUUUUUCUCGGUUAUCUGGCUGGUUAGAAAGCUUACAAGCUUCACUACAAGAUUUAAUAGUUUUACCGACGUAAUUUUUCCGUCGGCGUAAGACACAUAUUCCGUCGGUAAUUAAUUUAUCAACGAAAUCACCGACGGAAAUGCUUCGUCGGUGAAUCUUUCAUCGGUAAUUUUUUAUCCAUUGGUAAUAAAAAAAUAUUAUUACUGACGGAACAAACGCGUCGGUAAUAACAUUUUUUUUAUUACCAACGGAUUUACCGACGGAAUUUCCGUUAGUAAAUCCUUCGGUAAUUAUUUAAAAACAUUUUUAAAAAAAUUCAUUUUAUAAAAUUAUAAAAUAAUUAAAUUAACAUAAAUCAACACUCUAUAAUAUAUACUCAAAAUGCUUGGAAAAAAGAAUAAGAAAAUCAACUCAAACAAAUUUGCAACAAAUAAAUAAAAUGAAAAAAUAAAUUCAACUAAAAAAAUUCAUAUGAAAAAAAUGAAGUUGCAAUUGCUAAAAAUUUAAAAAUCCUAUAAAUAAAUCAACUAAAAAUUGAUCUCAUAUGAAAAAAAAAAUCUCACAACAACAUUUAUACAAUUAUUAAGAACAAAAACAAUUAAAAAUAAAAUAAAAUCAUGAAAAAAGAAGAAAAAAGAAAAAUCUUACCUUAAUGUAGUUGUAAGUGAAGCUAAGGAGAGAAAAAAAUUUUCGUAAAGCAUAUUUAUUAAAAAAAAACUAAGAGGAUAAAAGAAGAAAGAAGAAGAAGACAUACUCGAGCAUGAAGAAAAAGAGAAGGAGAUGAGGAGAGAAAAGAAGAGAAAGAAAUAGAUAUUGAUGUUUUUUACAUAUAGUGAAUAAUAAUAAUAAUAAUAAUAAUAAGAAAUGAAUCUGUCUCUUGUGAAAUAAGGGGAUUCAGACUUUUUACAUAAGCCAGAUGAGUAUGCUUCAUGGAAAAAGUGCAAAGAUAUGAUUCUCUCUCUUGGAUUCUUAAUUCGCUCACAUAAGACAUUGCAGACAAUGUCAUUUUUUCAGCCACAUCACAAGUGGUAUGGGAAGACUCUCGGGAUCAUUUUUCACAAAGCAAUGCUCCUUGUCAUUUUUCAGAUUGAACGAGAUAUUUCUUAUCUUACUCAAGAUCAGAUGACUGUUGCGGUUUACUACACAAAACUUAAAAAAAUUAUAGGAUGAAUUGGGAUCCUAUAAUAAUACCAUUUGUUCUUAUGGGGUAGACCAUAGAAGACACCGAUUGAUGCAGCUCCUCAUGGGACUCAAUGACACCUAUAGUGCCAUUCAGUGGCGGAGCCAGGAUUUUUUAAAUGAGGGGACAAAUUACUAACAAAUAUUUGAUAUUAUAUGUUAUACAUACAUGUGUUAUAUAUAGAAAUUAAUUUGAAAUAUAUAUACCAGCUAAAGUUAAGCAAAAUUAAUUUAAAAAUACUUUUAAAAUGAAGAAACUUACAUUAUAAUUGUUAUCUUCGAGAUUUUAUAUUUUAAAACUGUUUCAUAAUGGUUUUAUUUUUAAUCUCAUUACAAAUAUCUUUCUCAAUAUAUACAACAAAUUUUCAUUUAUCUAUUUCUAAAUUUUUCAAGGAUUAGGAAAGUUCUUGACAACAAUUCUAUGCUGACAUAUGAUACAUAACAUCUAAAAUCAUAGCUUAAAAGGAUUGUUUAAAAUUGAUGUUGUUCUUGCUGGCUUGUUGUUUUGUACAAGUGGAUUAAACAUAAAUAUUAAAUGUUUUUUUAAUUUAUUUAUUAUGUCCUUAAUUUUUUUAGUUGUCAUGUACUUCAUUUUUAAUCAUUAGUAAAUUCAUUAUCAUCAUUUUUCAUAUGAAAUUCAUAACAAAAUACUUAUCAAUUCAUCAAAACUCAUUUCAAUUCAUAUCUAUUAGCAUAUAAUAUUACCCAUACACAUAUUAAUUCAACAAACCCAUAAAUUAUUAUAAACCUUGAUAUUUUUAAUAACUAAUUAUAAAGAAAUAAAACUAAAAUUAUAUAAUGAAACAAAUAGAAAAGUAACACAGCUUUAUAUUAGUCACUACAACAUUAUCCAGUUUUACCGACGGAAUCAUUCCGUCGGUGACAGCAAUGAAAUCUGUCGGUGAAAAUAAAACCGACGGACUCAUCGACGGAACACGUCCGUCGGUAUAACAGUCGUCGGUAAAUCCCAUUUCCGUCGCUAAUUCUGUCGCAAAUAAAAAAAACCAUCCACCGACGGUAAUACAGAAGGAUACGCGCGCGCCAAAAAAAAGUUUCCCGCGGGAACAUUACCGACGGAAUACAUCCGUCGGUAAUUUCAAGGGUAAUUACCGACGGCAUUACCGACGGAAAAUCCGUCGGUAAUUAUGGCAUGGCUUGUAAUUUUGUUGCAACUCUAUGUGUAAUACCGACGGUUAUUAUCCGUCGGUAAUGCCGUCGGCAUGUAAUCACCGACGGAUAAUAUCCGUCGGUGAUGCCGUUGGUAAAUAUGGCAUGGAUGGUAAUUGUUCGGCAACUCUCUGUUAAAUACCGACGGAUAGUAUCCGUCGGUACGUAUUUAAAAUAUAUAUAAAAAAUAAUUUAUUAAUUGUAAAAAACCUUAAUAAACAAAUAAAAAUGCAUUAAACAUUAAAAAUGUAAAAGUAAUAAUAUUCAUUACAAAUUUAAUGUGUUUAAAAAACAAAAUUAAACUAGAAUAGCGGCGGAGCUGGAGGAGGAGGCGGAGGAGGAGGAGGCUGGUUGUUCCCGGGACCAUACGGCCAAAAAGAAGCUGCACAAGUAUCGUCACCCAUCUUUGAUCUCAUCUCCAUGACAAUUUGACGGAGCUCAUCAUAAUUCGUCGAGAGUUGUUGAUAUUGUUGUUUCAACGCAAUGAACUCCUCAGACUGGGUGUUCGAUACUGAUGAAGAGCUUCCAACAGUUGAGACACUACGAGUCGAACGCAAGUUGUCAGCCGUAGUGUUGGAGAGCCCGUAGACCCUAUUUUUAUCGAGUCCACCAGACGAUCCCGCCUCCAUCCACAAAUCUGGAUCGAAAUCUGGAUGGGUCGACGGAUUGUCCCCAUAUCUCUCCCUCAACCGGCUAUUAUAGGUCUCCUGAAAAUUCCAUCGGUAAAAAAAUCAUCAAAUGCAAUUCAAGAUGCAAUUCAAGAAAAUAAUAACUUACAAAAUAAAAUGAAUGAACGAACAUACCACGAAGUGCUGAGCACGGUUGUCCACGAACUGCUGCACCCCCUUUUGGCGGUCUUAACUCCGCACAUGCGUCUCUAGAAACAGCUCCAUUGGACUCGGUUCACGUCCAAGAGACGCAGCCUGUAAGGAAAAAAUAGGUUGAAAGUUAAAUAUAUUAUAAGGAACGACAAAUUAAUUAACGAUAUAUUUCAUUAAAAUUAAUCUUACCAUCCGCUUUGCAUGUGCGCUGAAUGGGACGGAUCCGCCAGUGUGCGUGGUCACCGAACCAUGAAUUUGCCGGUUCCGGUUGUCGGCGCCGGACUGUGAGCGCCAUGAGAACCGCUCUGAGGCCACGUGCUCAAUAUAUGCCAUCCAUAUUUCCCCCGAGAUGAAUGGCGGUUUGAAUUCCUGCCAAACCGCCACCUCAUUCCAUCCUUCAAGACCGUUAUCCCUCGCAUGUCUUCUUGAUUUUUUUUUGGUGUCAUACCAAAAAUCACGCAACCUACUUCCAUAGUAACAAAUUAGAAUUUAAAACAUAAAAUUAUAAAACAAAAAUAAAUAUUAUUUUCGAUGUUACCUAGUUGCCGCGUGAUUCUCCCAUACCCUCCUCACAACAUUGUUGUCCGCCCUAUCCCACUCAAAUUUGUUCUGUGUAUAUAAAUAAUUCAUAUAAAAUAAAAAUAGUACAAGAUAUAAAAUUAUAAAAAUCAUUUAUUAAAAAUAAGCUGGAAAUUAAAAAUUAACACCGACCUGAAAUCGCUUAAACCAUGCAUCGAUAUUAGGUUUCCACUCAGGAUGUUUGGAAACCUGGCUCCAUUGAAACAAUGGAAUCUCCAUCGACGAUUUAAACGCCAAUGUUAUAGUCCUUGCAGCCUCAAUGUUUGUGAACCUGAAAUUAAAUAAAAGUAGUAAUUAAUAUUAAUUAGUUGUUCAUAAAUUAUGUUAUAAGUAUAUAAAAAAAAAACUAAAACCUAAACAAACUUACAUUGAGAAGUCAUCCUUCCAUUGUGCCUGGUACUUGCGGGUGAAUUGACCCCGCUGUGAAGGCACACCGCUUCUGCGCUGUGAAACCACGCUAGAAGAGGCAGCAUCACAAGUUGGCGUAGAUUCCUCGCCGUGAUCAGCACCUAAGGAUACGUCCUCCUCGCUGCUAGAAGAACUAGCUUCAACCGUCUUCUGACGACGUGCUGUAGAUUUCAUUCUACGCAUCUACACAAAUGUAUACGAAUAAUUACAUAAUUAACUUCGAUUAUUUAAAAAAAAAUUCGACAGAGUCUCCCCUGUACUGGGGGGUCCCAAGUUGUCGACAAAAUCAUAUUACACUUCCAAUUUUAUUUCACAUCCCGAUCCAAUCAUCCUGGAUCUCAACCCAACUCAUCAUCAUCAACACAACAUUUUAUUCAAUAACAUCAUAUAGAAUUACAACUAUGAACAUUCAUUGUUAAAUUGGUACUUAGAGUUACAAACAUUAGAUUAAAGUCAUACAUUCAAAUUUACGGAUUAAUAUUACAUUUUUAACAUAAAUUCAACAAUAACAAUUAUAGCAAUACAAACAAUAAUAUCCUAAAUUAAGAUAAACUAAUUAAAUGCAAUUCUAUAUAUAUAAAUUAACAUUUUUAAAAUAAAUCAACAAUAACAAUUAUAUUUAUAAACUAACAUUUUUAACAUAAAUUCAACAAUAACAAUUAUAGCAAUACAAACAAUAAUAUCAAAACUAAAAAACUAAAAUUAAUAAAUAAAAUUAAAAAACUAAAAAACACUACACAACACACAACAUAAACACAAAACAAACAAUACACAAAACAAAAAAACAUUAUAUCAAUUCAAAAUAAAUUUGGGAAUAAAAAAUGCUUACCUUAAUAAUGUGUUGAAUUUAAGAUUUUAUCUACAAACAAUAUACAAAACAAAGAACACCAAAAAAAAUAAUCAUAAUUAAAAUAAAAAAAAUACAAAGAUAAAGAAAAAAAAAUGCAUACCUUUUAAAACUACCACCAAAACAAUAAAAUCCUUCUAAAAGCUAAAUAUAAAUGAGAGAAGAAGAGAAAGGGAGAAGAGAAAGGGAGAAGAGGAGAAGAUGAGAGAAAGGGAGAAGAGGGAGAAGAGGAGAAGAGGAGAAGAGAAAGGGAGAAGAAGAGAAGAGGAGAAGAGAAGAAAGUGCGGGGGGGGGGUGGCGAUAUAUAAAGCAAUAUUUCCGACAGAAUUUCUGACGGAAAUUAAUUGUUGUCGGUGCAAUAAAUUUCCGUCGGUAAUUCCGUCGGAAAUUAAUUGAAAUGCGUACCAAAAAAGUUCGAAAGUCCCGCCAAACUUUUCGAUCCGUCGGCCAUUCCGUCGGUAAUAGUGCAGACGGACAUGUGUCAGACAUGCGUGAUCCGUCGGUAAUGCCGUCGGUAUAUUACGUCGGAAAUGCCGUCGGUAUUCGUGCAGACAGACACGUGUCAGACAUGCGUGGUCCGUCGGUAAUGCCAUCGGUAUUUGACGUCGGUAAUUCCGUCGGUAAUAGUGCAGACGGACACGUGUUAGACAUGCGUGCGACAACCCGUCGGUGAUUCCGUCGGUAUUAGCGUUGGAAACGCCGUUGGAAAUCCGUCGGUGAAUAUGGCAAAAUCCCGUAAUUUUUUUGCAACUCUCUGUGAAAUACCGACGGGUUAUAUUCCGUCAGUGAAAAGGUAAAUUUUUCUUAUUUUUUUUAUGUAACCCUCUUAAAAAAUCUUGAAUUGCAAUCUUACAGCACACACAACACAAUAACAAAGGCUGACCCUUAAAGAAGAAUAAAUAUUUCAUGUUUCAAAUUAUUACAUUAUAAAAAUAAGGCUUUAUAACAUGUUUAGUUAGUCGGAAUUUUCAUCUUCGUCCUCUAUUGAAUUGUUAUCAUCAGCUUCAUCGCACUCUUCAAUUUCGUUAUCAUCUUCUUCAACAACAUUUUUUUUUCCACUAGUAGAGCUAAGAACAACAUUCAACUCCUCUGCGUCAACAUCAACAAGAUUAUCGUUGAAAACACGAAAAUUCGAAUUUUCUUCUAAGUCAAUCGACGGAGCAACUCGGUAUGGUUCAACCAACUCACUAGCUUGAAAGACUUCAUAUAUCACACUUGUGUCUUCGUUCUCAUCCUGAAACACCUCGACACGAUCCUUGGGUUUUGUUUUUAAAACGGAUAACCAAUCAACUCUUGAUCGGUCCUUUCUAAAGGAAGGGGUGUAUGUGUAAUAAACUUGUUGGCAUUGCUUUGCGAAAACAAAGACGUCGUUUACGUUGCGGUGUCUAGCUUUUGAAUUGAUUUCAACGAGACCAUAGUGAGGAUCUACUCUGAUUCCUCUGUCAGUUGUGUCAUACCAAUAGCAUUUGAAUAAAAACACUCUAUUUUGCUCGCUAUGAUAUUGCAGUUCGAUGACCUCUUCCAAUCUACCAUAGUAGUCAACUUCAAACUCACUAGAAGUCGAUCCCUUAAUACAAACACCGCUGUUGUAUGUCUUUCUUCCAUGCCCGUAUUCUUCAGUAUGAAAGACAUAUCCAUUGACAAAAUAUCCAUUAUAGCACUUGACUUUUCUUUCAGGGCCCAGACAUAGUAAAGACAAUGAAAUAGCAGCACUACCUCCCAUUUGAUAAACCUAGCUUGUAAAUUAAAUACAACAAUAAUCAAUAAACGGAUAUUAUGUAACAUUGACUACAAUUAAUUACAUUGCAAGAGAUAAUGAGUUUGUGAUAGGACUUACAUGUGUUCUAAACCAUGUGGCAAAUUGUUCAUCUUGUAAUUGAAAGAUCUGGGAUUCGGUCAGCUGUGAGUUAUUGGACAGUAAGUAUCGUCGAUGUUGCCUGCAAGGUUGUUCCAAAUUAUAUGAGUGUAUGGUAUCACAAAACAUAAAUAGUACACUCUUGACAAAGUUUAAGUCGAACAUCUACUUACUUAAUAAAAGGUCUCAGCUCAUCACAGUUAAAUAGGACAUAAUUAUGUGCUUGUCUGAACUCUAUUUCAGACAAAUAUCUUCCCCUCACGGCAUUUUUAGGUGUGGGUCGUCCAGGAUUGGAGAAUAUUGACAAGUUCCCACUUGAAUGCACUUCACCACCAUCAUCAUGCCGUGGAACACGGUUUAUCCUCGUUCUCAAAUGAGGUUCGAAAUAGUAUGAGAUAAAUGUUGAGAUCUCCUCAACAAUAUACGCCUCACAUAUGCGCCUUGUUCUUAACCUUUUUUUUAAGAUUGAACAAGUACCUGCAUAUAUAUAUAUAUAUAUAUAUAUAUAUAUAUUAAUAAAAAAUUAUCAAUUAAAAACAUUAAAAUAAAAAUAAAAACAUUUAAUUAUAAAUGUCAUAGCAACUGUAAUAUCUAACCUCUCGAAUGGAUACAUCCAUCUGUACUGGACCGGUCCUCCAACUUUUACCUCAAACGGUAAAUGUACGGGUAGAUGCUCCAUUGAGUCAAAAAAUGAUGGAGGGAAUAUCAUCUCAAGUUUGCAUAUUGUCUCGACGAUAUUCUUUUCAAGCCUUUCAAUGUGAUCAACAUUCAACUUGCUAGAGCAUAUGUCUCUGAAGAAAUGACUAAUCUCCGUUAAUGCAUCCCAUAUCCCCUUUGGCAACAAAUCACAAAAAGCUAAUGGGAUGAGUGUUUGCAUAAACACAUGGCAGUCAUGACUCUUCAUUCCAUAUAAUCUGCAUUCCUCCGUAUUAACCAGCCUUGAUAUGUUCGAGGCAUGUCCAUCGGGGAAACGCAAACUCUUAAGCCAUUUGUAGACUAGUAGUUGUGUGUUUUUCUCUAGCACGAAGCUUGCUCUUGGUUUUGCGACCCGUGACCCAUCACAAACCAACUCCAUAUUUUUACGGUUACUGAACAACGCUACAUCCAAUCUAGCCUUGAUGUUGUCCUUUGUCUUCCCCUUCACAUCCAUGACGGUGUUGAAAAUGUUCUCAAACACGUUCUUUUCAAUGUGCAUGACGUCAAGGUUAUGGCGGAGAAGAUUGGUCUUCCAAUAAGGAAGCUCCCAAAAUAUACUUCGCUUCACCCAAUUAUGGGUAAAACCAAAACCAAGAAACUUUUGCUUACCUGAUUGGAGACCAAACACAAUUUCACCGUACUCUGACACAACAUCAAACAAUUCUUCACCGGAAAGACGCGGGGGUGCAACAUCAUUUUCAACUCUGCCAACAAAGAAAUCCUUUCUGUUCUUUCUGUACCUGUGGUUAUGUGGCAAGAAACGACGGUGACAGUCAAAAAAAGAAGCUUUACCCCCGUUUGUUAGCGUGAAUGCCUUGUUGUUCUCCAUACAAUAUGGACAUGCUAGCUUUCCAUGCGUGCUCCAACCAGAAACCAUUCCAUAAGCUGGGAAAUCAUUGAUAGUCCACAUCAAAGCCGCUCUCAUAACAAAAUUUUGUUUCCUCGAGAUGUCAUAAGUCAAAGCUCCAGAGGACCACAACUGCGUCAACUCAUCAAUCAACGGACGAAGACAAACAUCUAUAUUCCGCCCCGGACUGCUCGGACCUGGUAUGACCAUAGAUAAAAACAUGAACUCCGGCCUCAUACAUAUCCCCGGUGACAAGUUAUAAACUGUCAGUAUAACUAGCCAACAAGAAUAAGGAGCAGCAAAUGACCCGAAUGGGUUGAAUCCGUCUGUACACAACCCAAGACGCACGUUCCUUGAUUCAGCUGAAAAGGGAGGAUGCAUACUGUUAAAGUGUUUCCAGGCUUCACCGUCAGAAGGAUGAACCAUCACUCCAUCAACCGCAUGGUGUGAUUGGUGUCAUGUCAUGUGCUCAGCAGUCCUUGGUGACAUGAAUAACCUCUGCAGUCUAGGUGUGAUUGGGAAGUAUCUAAGUUUUUUAUAUGCCACGAGAGUCUUCCCUCUACCAGUUCUGGGUUUGUAACGGGAAUGCCCGCAUGUCAUGCACUCGGUCAUCUCAGCAUUUUCAAGGUAGUAUAACAUGCAGAAGUUAGGGCAUAUAUCAAUUUUCUGGUAUCCUAAACCGAGGGGUUUCAUCAUGGACUUGGCAGCAUAGAAGUUCUCUUUCAGCCUGUUCCCUUCAGGUAAAAUGCUUCUCGCCCAUUCAAUAAUCUUGUCAUAACCGGCCUCACUCAACCCGUGAUCUGACUUGAUGGUGAACACCUGUGCUACGGCUGAUAAUUUACUGUGGUUCGUGCAGCCAUCCCAUCAUGGUUCGUCAGAAUCUCUCAACAGAUCAAAAAACCUUGCUGCAUCUGCAUUAGGUUCUUCUUCUACGAUUGGACAUUCCCUGACAUUAUCUUCACUCAUUCUCAUUGCAUCCAUAACCAUAUUCCUGUAAGGAUUACUGUUCUCAUUUCCAACUUCAUGCAUGUUACUAGCACUAGAAGUUGACCCAACCACCUGUUCUUCCAUGCUCUCAUCAGGAACAAAUAGUUCUCCGUGAGCAUACCAACACAGGUAAUCUUCCAUGAACCCUUUGGUUAGAAGAUGCAUCGUUACAACAUCUUGAUGCAGAAACUUUAAAUUUUUACACUUCCUGCAUGGACACCUAAUACCGCCAUCAGUAAAAUUCCUCGGAAUAGAUGUUGCGAAAUUAAUAAAACCCUGGACACCGUUACAAUAAUCCAUCCUCCGCAAUCCUUGGGGUGAGUCCCGAUACAUCCAUGAACGAUCAUCCAUGACUUCUAUUGAACCUCUAUAAAACAUAACAAAAAUAUUGGUUUUCCCCGACAUUAUCCAACAAACUAAAACAACACUUAUGUUAAAUAUUCAUUAUCAAUUAUCAACUAUCAACGUUCAUACAUACAAAUUUAUACAUAUAUAAAUUUACAGAAAUCACAACUUCGAAAUAUAAUUGAUAACAAUUAAACAAGACACUUAAACAAGCUAUUAAUUAUUUAUUUCAUCACAACGACACAUUUAAUUCAAACAAAAUUUCAACAAUUUACAAACAAAUAUAAUUUGACAAAAUCUAAAACAAACUAUAACAACUACAAAAUUAUACAUUCAUACUACAAGUUUCUUUGACAAAUAACAAUUAAACAAGUACAAACGUUAACAAAAUACAUAUACUAAAACAAUAAAAUUCACAAUUAAAUAUUAAAACUAAAAAGGAUAGAUUUAUUUACAAAAAAAUGAUAAAAUCUACAAGAAACGGAUAUUGUGACCACGUACAAGAUAUAAGAAACUUGAGUGCUCGUGUUGAGAAUAGUGGAGAGUUUGGGAUGGGUGUUUGGCUGCAGUUUGGGAGGGGAGAGGUGGGAUGGGAAAGAAGAAGAAGGAGAAACAGAGGAAGAGAGUGUCGGCAGAUGGGUGCAUAUAAUGGUUUUUUCUGACGGAAUCACCGACGGAUUCAUUCCGUCGGUGAUUCCGUCGGUGAAAUCGCCACAUCACUGUACGGCUAUCUCAGUUUGAAUCCCUCGGUAAUUUCUGUCGGUAAAAUCGCCUGACGUCACCAUGCCGUUGCGUAUUUCCAGACGAACUGUAUACUCCGUCGGCGAAACCGUCGGUAUAUACCGAUGGAAUUACCGACGGAAUAAAUCCGUCGGUAUAUACCGACAUAUUUUGAGACGGAAUUAUUUCCAUCGAUAUAAAUUACCGACGGAAAAAUUCCGUCGGUAAUUCCGUUGCUUUUCUCCGGUUUUCUGGUAGUGAGUUUUGAUCAACUCCUUUUCUAUUAUAUUAUGUUCGAUUUAGCUGUUAAAUCUCUAUAUUUUAUUUAAUUUGGAUAUUGAUUUAUCUACUAUUAAUUUAUAUGAAUCACUUAAAAAAGUAACACAGCUUUAUACCAUGGAAUAAUUAAAGUGGGAUCGAGAGUGGCAAUGGAUGCUAAUUGAGAGGGGGAGGGGGCAAUUGCCCCCUCUUGCUCCUAUGUGGCUCCGCCACUGGUGCCAUUCAGGGUCAGAUUAUGUUGAUGAACCCAUUACCUGACGCUGCUAAGGCCUAUGCUUCUGUUAUGCAGGAAGAGAAGCAGCGUAGCCUGAGGAGUAUUCAUGAAAUAUUAGAUAAUUCUGCCAUGGCUGUGCGGAAGGCAGAAUCAGUGGCCCUUUGCUGCUAGACGUGGACAAUGUGCUCAUUCUCGUUCUUUAUCUGCUAACCCUUGCAUUGCUCUUACUAUGAUUGUGGUCAUCAUAUGCGAGAAACCUGUUGGAAACUGAAUGGAUAUUCACCAUAACACCCUAAAAAUCCAUCCAACAAGUUUGCUCCAGGCAGGCUCAGUUCAAGCGCAAUAAUGGCACUCAUUUUUCUACUAACAAUGUUAAAAAGGGUUAGCUCAUGCAUGAGGCAUCUUCAGUUAUGACUGGAUUUUCAGAUUUGCAUAUUCAGCAAAUACUAUCCAUCAUAUAGGGGAAGGGCACAAUGCAACCUAACUUGACACGAUCAAAAGAUUGAUGUCUUAUCCCAAGUGCAGGAAUGUCGAAAUAAUAAAUAAUCCUGCAAGACCGGGGUCAAAUCACAUAGAGUUUAACUAUAUAAAUUAUAAAUAAUAAUAAUAAUAAUAAUAAUUAGUUAAAGAGAAUUUUGAGAUGUGAGAUUAAUGUGAGGAUUAAACAAUAAUAAAAACAAAUGUCAAGGUUAGAGGAUCCACUAAUGAUAUUUCAAAUAAGUAUAAUAUAAACUCCUUUUAUUACUCAACAGUAACCUACACACAAAAGAGGUUCCAAUCGGAUGAUUUGUCAUUAAUAGCUCAUUAUAAAUUAUUAACAUGAUCAUAUUAGUUAUCUUAUUUAAGUAACACCAAUACUUUUAAAUAUUGUCAGGAAUUCAUGAUGUUAACUUAUGUUAACAACAAAUGAAGCUCCUUUCAUAGCACAGGUGUCGGUUAUACCAUACAGUUGGCUAUGAAGGAUCACACAUUUAUUUUACCAAGUGUUAUACAACACAAAUCUAGAUUAACCAUUUAACAAGUAAGGUAUUAAGAAUUAAUAAGAUAAAAAUGAUAAGACAUGUUAAUAUCAAACUUUCUUGGAUGUAAGCAUUGAAGUCCAUAUUGAGUUUAUAUUAUACAUAUCCUAACACCAUUAGUGAAACCUUUUCACCUUGACAUAUUAAACUUAGCUAAACAUUAUGAAGAAGAGAAAUAUAAAUAAACAAGAUGAGAACAUAAUUAUAUAAGUAUAGUAAAUGAAAUGAAAGGCAUAAACAAGAUAUUAAUGAAACUAUAACAUGAAAUAAAACUAGAACAUUAAAACUCAGAAAAUGAUCUUGAUAUGAAAAACCAAGAUGUCUAAAUGCAUGACAAAUGCCUCCUUUUAUAGGCCAAAAUUCAGAACUAUUGAUUUGAUGACUAAUUGUUGAGUGGGUGACCACAUCUUGACUUGGUGACAAUCCUUGAACAAAACGUCAUUGCUAACAUCAGAAUUUGAACAUAUAGUUUCAUGAAAGUUCUGGGAAAUUGUCUCAGCUUUCCAACAAAACAAGAAUUGGUAUAGUUGGACUUCUAGAACUCGAGAUAUGGGUUGAACACUGAACAGUGUCUAGGCUGCAGGACAGAUUCCGACUUCUCUGUUGUUACUACCAUUUGAACUCGAAAAUGGAACUUUUAAAUCUUGAACUCUUUAUGAAAGUUUUAGGCUUAUGUCUUAGCUUUCCAUACAUAUAAACCAGACCUAAAUCCAAGUUCUACAGCUCUAGUUAUGAUCCAAUAACCGAAUGGUGUUUCAGUUUGGACUUAACCAGCAUCUCUUUUCUAAGCUUAAUCCUCUCUUUGUCUUCUCAAUUUCAGUAGUUAAACUCAUCAAUCAAUCUUUUGAUUUAUGUGAUAGGCCUGCAUUUAAGAUGAACAUUUACCAUAAAUUAAAGGUAUUUUAUAUUAUUAGACAUGUUAUUAUAAAACAUGCUCUAAUUAAGGAGUUAUUGAUACUUCAAGUGCAAAAUGAUGAUAUAAAACCUUGAUAAAAAUGCACUUUUAAGUACUAAUCAUUCUACUGCCUACAUUAUUCAUCAAUUCACAUCAUGGAGUAUAAAGCAUUAACAAAGUAGCAUAAAACAAGAUUGAAAGACUCUCAUCAUUGGCUGACCACUAGCUCUAUUUAAUUAUCAAUUUUUUUUUACUUCAGCUACAAUAAUUUAAUCACUUUACUCUAACUUUCACAUUAUUCCCCAUGACAAUUUACAGUAAAUUUUUAUUUCCCCCAAAUUCAUUCAAGAACCCUAACUUUUCAAAUUUCAAAAAUUCAAUCAAUUAAGGACUUUAAGCCAUUAAAAAUCAGAUCAAAAGUCUUUAGAAUGCCUUACCAAGCAAGUAAUUAAACUCUAAACACUACCCAAUUCAAGCUUCCAACUCCUCUUCUUAUUUAAUCUUGGUCGAACUUCCUUUCUCCUUUUCUAUUCACCUUCACUAGAUUUUUCUUCCUUCAAAUUAAUGCUCACUAAGCUUGAUUAAUGUUUCCUCAAGAUCUUCUCUUAAGAUUUUAUGUUUCCUUUACCAUUUUUUCUCUCUCACAUGUAAAUGGUAGUUUCCCCUCUUUCCUUUUUUUUCUCUCUUUUUUCUUCUUGCGCGCACGUGCGCCCACACACACACACACACACACACACACACACACACACACAUAUAAACUUUUUACCAAAUUCCCUCUAUAUCCUUAAUAGUAAAUUUCUUGUUCCCGAGAUUAAAUUCCUAGAUCCUGGUAUUUGUCUAUAUAAACUUUUUACUCGGGUGAAUUCGAAUUUCAUUUAGUUACAUAUUGAUAAUUUUAUUUCUAGGUAACUCACUCCUAAUAAUAUUUUAUUCACUUUUCUGUAUUUUUUUCGUACUUUGUUUAUUCUAAUGCUUAUUUGGUACUUCUGAUAAAUCUAUUCUAUAAGCAUUUAGAUUGCUUUUCUGCCUAAUUUUCAACCUGGGUUUACAUUCUUCCCUUCUUAUAAGAAAUUUCAUCCUCGAAAUUUGAGUGAUGUACCUGAGUUUAUAAAUAAGUUGGGAAAUUUUCGUCUUAUUUCUGAUUCUCUCUCCCAUGUUUCUUCCUCUAUUUGUGAGCUUCGCCAUAAGACUUUGAUGAUGGGAACUUUCUUAUUACAAAGUUCUUUCUUGCCCUAAUUGAGUAUCUUUAUCGGUCUUACCUCAAGUGUUAAGUCUUCUUUCACCUCCACUGGCACUUGAGGUAACACUCUCAAAGGGUCUACAUUGGCUUUUCGUAGAAAAGAAACAUGGAAUACAUUGUGAACCUUGGCCAAAUAUGAGGGCAAGUUUAUUUCAUAUGUUACGGGUCCGAUACAUUUCAGGAUUUUAAAUGGUCCAAUGAACCUCGGAGCUAACUUCCCCUUCAUGCCGAAUCUCAGCAUGUGCUUCCAUGGAGCUUGUAACAACUCGGCUUUUCAAGCCCAAAACAACAUUAAUUUUUUUUUUGUAUUUGAAACAUAUCGUGUUGGUAAUCGGCGAACCUGUUCCCUCACAUCAUCAAGAUACAAUCCAUACAUCAACAAUAAUCAACAUUUCAUUUAAAAGUGAAUAUUACAUAAACAUAUAAUAUUGUGUUUGCAUGAUUAGAAGUUCACAUUAAAAAUAUACAUGCAUAGACAUGAGUUUGUAUUCUAUCCUACAAAUAGUCAUCACGAAUUUAAACAAAAAGGAUCUAAUAAUAGUCAUACAUUCAAUACAUUGAUUCAUACAAAAUACAUCAUGAUUUAGAAUGCAACUACAUGAUUCCUUGCAAAAGUAGGUUCCCGUGUAUUGGGUUUUCUAGGCACCUUGUUGGUGUGAUGUUCCUGCUGUAGUACAAAACAUUUACAAUAAUGCAAUUACUUAAUAAUAAUAAUGAUAAGAAACGGUCUGGCAGUUUAAUGAAGCAUUAACAUUAUCUCAUGUUUGAAGCGUGACAUUUGUAGUUCCUUCAUGUAAAUAACUUGUAGUACAUAUAGAUGCACCAAUUCUUGCAAUCAGCCAUAAUCUUAAAUCUGGCCAUCCUCUUAAGGCAUCAUUUGCCGAGGUUAAUCGUUCACUCACCCCGACCAUCCACUUCGAAUGCCAUCAGCCAAAGCUAAUCAACCAUUUGUCCCGGUCGUCUAUUUGGAUGCCAUCAGCCGAAGCUAAUCAUUCAUUUGUUUCGGUCAUCCAUUCGGAUGCCAUUAGCCAAAGCUAAUCAACCGUUUGUCCCGGUCGUCCAUUUGGAUGCUAUUAGCCGAAGUUAAUCAUUCAUUUGUCCCGGUCAUCCAUUCGGAUGCCAUUAGCCAAAGCUAAUCAACCGUUUGUCCCGGUCAUCCCUUCAGAUGCCAUUAGUCGAAGUUAAUCAAUCGUUUGUCCUGGUCAUCCCUUCGGAUGCCAUUAGGGGAAGCUAAUCAAUCGUUUGUCCCGAUCAUCCCUUUGGAUGCCAUUAGCUUAAGCUAAUCAUUCAUUUGUCCUGGUCAUCCAUUCGGAUGCCAUUAGCCGAAGCUAAUCAUUCAUUUGUCUCGGUCAUCCAUUCGGAUGCCAUUAGCCGAAGCUAAUCAACCAUUUGUCAACAUUUAAGCAUUUGGCAAUCUGAUAUCUGAAUUAACACAAUAUGAUAAAAUUCAUGAUAAAGUAUUUCAUUAUUCAACGUUAUUAAAAAGGAAGGUGAAAGUCACCUACCUGCAGUAGAAGCUCUACUCGUGCUCCCCUGUUGCUGCUGUUGCACCACACCGGUGGUCCCUCUUGCAGUCACAGGCUCAUCUCAUAAAUUUUUCUCAUUCAAGGAUAUGUUUUAUCUAAUCAUAUCAACAGCUAAUAGAUCUUUCUUUCAAUCAUUUCUUUCUUUAUAUUUUACAUUUUUCUCAUUACAUCCAUUAAUGUUGUCAUCCUUUAUCCAACCAUAGUUAUCAUUCCUUUCUUUAUAUUUGAACUGUUAUUGUCCAACCGUUACUGUCUUGACAUUGAACUGUUACUGUCCGACCUCUCCUCAGAUUUUUAACUAUAUCUAGAGUUAUAGAACUCCAUUUCAAGCGAGAUUGGUCUCGUUGGAAAGUUAAGACAUGAGGCUACAAGUUCUUUAAAGGAAAGAGAACCCAGUUCUGCCUCUAAGACAGUCAAAAUUACACAUCAACAAACAUUGGACUGUUACUGUUCAACUGUUACCGUCUUGAUAUCGAACUGUUACUGUCCGACCUCUCCUCAGAUUAUUAACUAUAUCUAGAGUUAUAGAACUCUAUUUCAAGCGAGAUUGGUCUCGUUGGAAAGCUAAGACAUGAGGCUACAAGUUCUCUGAAGGAAAGAGAACCCAGUUCUGCCUCUAAGACAGUCAAAAUUGUUCAUCAACAAACAUUGAACUAUUACUGUCCAACUGUUACUGUCUUGAUAUCGAACUGUUACUGUCUGACCUCUCCUCAUAUUUUUAACUAUAUCUAAAGUUAUAGAACUCCAUUUCAAGCGAGAUUAUUUUCGUUGGAAAGCUAAGACAUGAGGCUACAAGUUCUCUGAAGGAAAGAGAACCCAGUUCUGCCUCUAAGAUAGUCAAAAUUGCUCAUCAACAAACAUUGGACUGUUACUGUCUUGAUAUCGAACUGUUACUGUUCGACCUCUCCUCAGAUUGUUAACUAUAUCUAAAGUUAUAGAACUCCAUUUCAAGUGAGAUUAGUCUCUUUAGAAAGCUAAGACAUGAGGCUACAAGUUCUUUGAAGGAAGGAGAACCCAGUUCUGCCUCUAAGACAGUCAAAAUUGCUCAUCAGCUGAUCAGUCCUACUGCCUUAUAGAGUCAGUCAUGACCCAGUCUCGGUUGGUGACCCAUAACUAGAGUUCUACAGCUCCAAUUUGAGCAAGACCAACUUCCUUAGUUAGCUAACAUCCAAGACUACAAUUACUAUGAAGAAACUUGAUCCUAACUCCCUUAUCAUCCUACUCAAAUUCUCUCUAAAAGUCAGGAGAUGAAUCUAUCCAGAUUCAUCAUCCUUUCCAUUUACACAUAACAUUCACAAUUUAACUUUUUCUCUUCUAUCUCAACCCCUAACCAUAUCACAUACCGUUUAAGAGUGUCAAAAAUAUCUUUUUAAGAGCCAAUUUAUCUUAUUUAUUUCAAUCUUCCCUCUUUGAUGCAUAAUUGACCGAAAGCAUGGCCUUAAGGAAGCAAGAGUUCCUUCACUCUUUUCAUGCUAAUUUCAUUAAAUUCACACAAAACCAAUUUUGACAACAGUUUCAAUCAACCAUAAAUAACAAAAGAAUAAUAUUCUACACAAUCCAUACGGUCAAGUUAUAAUACAUUAUUAUGAGUAUAACAUAUCCAAAUAUCAACUUCAUCAAAUGGUGAAAUUUCCAGAAAUAUGGGUUUAACCAAACUGACCUCAAACUUGCAGACCUACUGUGCGAGAAGCACAAUUUCUAUACCGAGUGUUUGUUUCUGAUCUCCAUCGUUCAUAAUCUAGAAAGCAUCAGGAAGAACAACAUAUCCAAAUUAUAGCCUGAUCCGACGGUGUCCGAAGGAGAAAAUAGUCAGCGACGAAGACUAUCCAGAAGUUUAUUUUCCCAGAACUUUUCCUCCUGCAAUAUCUCCCAAACGGGGACAGAUAUAGAAGAUCCCUCCAGUAAAACUGUACACGACAUGGAGGAGAACAAUAUAUCUAAAUAUUGUUCUAAUCCUACGGUAGAAGGUGGAGUUAUAGCUGUUGGAUUUUCUGCCAUCAAUACAUCUUCUCUCCAGCCUCUCUCUCAACUCUCUCUUGCUCUUACAAGUACUCCAAGAGAAAAAAUAGAAUGAUAUUUAUAAUGCUAUCAUCUUGUUAAUUGCACAUUUAUCCCCACCCCUUUUUAUCAUUUGUACAUAAAUUCCUAACCUUCUGUUAUUUGAAUAUUGACCUCUAUUGGUCUUACGUAUUCAUUUUAUCCCCACAACUAUUUUUCUUUUCAACAAUUUAGUACUAUAUUCACUUUUCAUUUCAUUAAUUUCAAUAUUUUUAUCUUGAUUUAGGUUUCUUUAAUUUAAUUUAACUCAUUUUACUAUUGGUUAAAUUUCUUAUAUUUUAAUAACCUAGAAAAAUUAUAACCGGGGGUUUACAGAGCUACCUUCGGAAAUACUUUAUCUCUAGGACAAAAUUCAAGGGGUCUUCUUUGAAUAUCUACAUACUUUUUCUAUCUAUCCUGAGCCACCUUCAUUCGAUCCUUAAUGAUCCUCUCUUUUUCAGCAGUGAUUUGUACUAAUUCUGCCCCAUACAACUUUCUGUCCCCAACUUCUUCCAAACACAAGGGUGUCCUAUACUUUCUGCCCUAAAGAGCUUUAAAUGGGGCCAUUCCAAUUGUUGUCUGAUAACUGUUGUUAUACGUGAAUUCUACUAGCGACAGGUGCUCCUCCCAAUUUCCACUAAAUUCCAAAUCACAUCCCCUUAGUAAAUCCUCUAAAAUCUGAAUAACUCUCUCAUUGACCAUCAGUCUGCGGAUGAAAGACAAUACUGAAAUUCAAAUUUGUUCCUAAGGCAUGUUGUAUGCUUAGCCAGAGAUGUGAAGAAAACCUUGGGUCUCGGUCUGAAACAAUUGAUACUGGAACUUCAUGAAGCCUCACAACUUUUUUCAUAUAAAUCUUAGCCAACUUGUCAACUGGAUCCGUCUUUUUUACUGGUAGGAAAAGGGCAGACUUAGUUAGUCGAUCCACAAUGACCCAAAUUGCAUCAUUUCCCCUCUUCCCCCUGGGUAGUCCCGACACAAAGUCCAUUGUGAUCAUCUCCCACUUCCAUUCAGGGAUUAGUAAUGGUUGUAACAGCUUUGCCGGCUUUCGGUGCUCCACUUUUACUUGUUGGCAAAUACUACAUUUUGCCACGUAGUUAGCCAUUUCUUUUCUCAUAUUUGGCCACCAGAAGUACUGUUUCAGAUCCUGGUACAUCUUAGUAUUACCUGGAUGUACAGUGAACUUAGACUUAUUUUCUCAUAUUUGGCUACCAGUAGUACUGUUUCAGAUCCUGGUACAUCUUAGUACUACCUGGAUGUAUAGUGAACUUAGACUUGUAGGCCUCUCACAGUAACUUUUUUUUAAGGACUUUGUUGUCAGGCACAUACAUGCGUCGCCCUAACAUCACUAUUCCAUCAUCUCCCAUUCAAAAAAGAGUUUCACCCCCCGAUUCCAGUUUGAUUCUUACUUUUGACACUUCAUCAUCAAGCUAUUGUGCCUCUAAUAUUUGCUCUCGAUAUCCUGACUUCACCCUUAGUUGAGCCAUUAAGGAUCCUUCUGGACUCACAUUUAAUACUGCCCCCAAUCUCUUUAGCUCAAGCAUGGUUUUCUCAUCCUAAGUUGCUGGGUCCACCCAUAAUUGCCUUGUCUUUAUGGCUGAGAGCAUCCAUGACUACAUUCGCUUUUCCUGGAUGAUAAUCUAUAAUACAGUCGUAGUCUUUAAUUAAUUCUACCCAUCUCCGUUGUUGCAUGUUCAACUCCUUCUGUGACAUAAGAUAUUUAAGGCUCUUAUGAUAUGUGAAAUUUGAACCCGGGUUCCGUAUAAGUAGUGCCUCAAUACUCGUAAGGCAAAAACUAUUGCUGCCAAUUCUAAGUCAUGAAAUGGGUAGUUGAUUUCAUGAGUCUUCAGUUGUCUCGAUGCAUAGGCAACUACUCUUCCAUGCUGCAUUAGGACACAACCUAGUCCUUUUUUUGAGGCAUCGCUGCAGAUUACAAAACCUUUUAUUCUGGAUGGAAGGAUUAGUAGAGGGGCAGUAGUAAGCCUUCUCUUCAAUUCAUGAAAGCUAUCAUCGCACUCCUUUGAUUGCUCUCAUCGCACUCCUUUGACCACUCCCAUCUUAUAUUCUUCCUAGUGAGUCAUGUCAAUGGAGUUGCUAUUAUUGAAAACUCUUUGAUAAACCUUUUAUAAUACCCUGCCAAUCCAAGAAAACUACGGAUUUCAAUUACCGUAGUAGGCCUUUCCCAUCUCAGAACUGCUUCCACCUUUUGAGGGUCCAUAAAAAUGCCUUCUGAAGACAUUACAUACCCUAAAAGGUAACUUCUUUUUACCAUAAGUCAUAUUUAUCCAACUUGGCAUACAACUGGCGGCUCCCUAGAGUCUGUAGUGUAUGUCUCAAGUGUUGUUCAUGCUCUUCAUAGGAUUUGGAGUAAACCAAGAUAUCAUCGAUGAAUACGACAAUAAACUUAUUACGGUACGGUUGGAAUACUCGGUUCAUUAAAUCCAUAAAAAGUGCUAGAGCAUUAGUUAAUCCAAAUGGUAGCACUAAGAACUCAAAGUGUUCGUACCGGGUUCUGAAUGCAGUUUUCAGCACAUCUUGCCCUUUGAUUCGCAUAUGGUAGUAUCCUAAUCUUAAAUCAAUCUUUAAGAACACUUUAGCACCCUUCAACUGAUCAAAUAAAUCAUCUAUCCGCGGAAGCAAAUAUCUGUUCUUUACUGUCACUUUAUUCAACUAAUGGUAAUCUAUACAAAGCCUCAACGUUCCAUCUUCUUCAUCACAAAUAAUACAGGUGCCCCCCAAGGUGAGUUGCUUGGUCGUAUGAACCCUUUGUCUAAGAGCUCCUGCAAUUGAAUUUUCAACUUAUCCAAUUCCUUAGGGGCCAUUCUAUACGACGGUUGGGCUAUAUGAGACACCCCAGGCAAUAUGUCGAUGGUGACUUCAACUUCUCUUUCUAGGGGUAGUCCCAACAGUUCUUCCGGAAAUACAUCCGGAAACUCCCUCACAAUUGGAAUGCCAGACAAUCCUAUUUUACCCUUUUCUGAAUUUAUCACAUAGGCAAGGUAUGUUAUACAACCUUUCUUUAGUAGUUUUCUCACAGCCAUAACCGAGAUUAUAUUUCUAAGGUUGGAAAUUCUCUCCCCUUUAAAGACCAUUGUUUCACCCUUAGCCCCUUGGAAGGUUACUGUUUUUGUAAAGCAGUCUAGACGAGUCUUAUUUUUUACCCAACCAAUUCAUGCCUAGGGUUAUAUCAAAAUCACUUAAUUCUAGGGGUAUUAAAUCUGCUUCUAGUUCACACCCAUUAAUGUUAAUUCCCACCCCUUUGAAUACAAUUUAUGUUUCCACAGUUUCACCCAAAGGUGUCCCAAUAAUAAAUCCUUUUUCUACCAUUUUUGUUCCUUUAUUCAGUUUUGCUACUUUUUUAUUUGCUAUAAAGGAAUGGGUGGCACUAGAAUCGAACAAAACAUGCAUUUGAUAGGUAUUCAUUUGCAGCAUACCUGCCACCACAUCUGAUGCUGCUCUGACAUCCUCCUGGGUUGUAUGAAAAACUCUUCCCUGACCUUUUUCAUUUUGCAUUCUAGGUCGUCCUCUAUUAGAGUUGACUCCUGACUGAGUCGUCUUUCCUGGUAUGUUCACCGUGAUGGACUGCUGGUGACUCUAACUUGGCUGCCUUUGAUUCUGAGGUUGUUCAGUAUUUAACCGGGGGCAUUCUCUUUUAAAAUGACCCUUCUCACUACAAUGAUGACAUCCUCUUACCAAGUACUGGCAGGCUCUCCACCUAUGACCUUCUCCUCAGCAUAUAUAGCAUCGGCCAGGAGAAACCAAGCAAUUCCCAGGGUGUUUUUGUUCGUACUAUGAACAAAAAGGGUAGACAAUUAUGAUAAUUAGACCCCUCUGAAGCAACAGUCCUGGAGCUGAUAUUCUGUCGAGAACUAGCUAAUGUCCGUCUUCUUUUCUUGAAUUGAAAGAACUGUCUGCCUUUACCCUUCUUUGGAAGUGGUGGCUUGCCUGAAAAUUCCAUAUCCUUUCGUUUUCGUACACCCCCGUGACUUUGUUGGCCUUCUUCUAUACAAGCCUUCAAGGCCUGUGCUGCUUCAAUAAGUUCCCUUACUGUCUUGAAUUGUAAAGCAAUCAACCCCUGCUUCAAUUCUUGUCUGAAGCCAUCCCUUAACUUUUCUAUCAUGUGUUGUUCUGAUGGGACAUAAUGUGGUGCGAAUAGUGAGAGGUCAUGAAAUCACCUCUCGUACUCAAGUACUGACAACCCCUAUUGUCUCAAGGCUAGGAAUUCAUGUUCAUUCAUCUUUCGAUGAUAUUUGGAGUAAUAUUGAUCCUCAAACUCCGUCUUGAAAUCAUCCCAGGAUAGGGUUUCUGUAGCCCUCCUCAACUAAACUGUCUCCCACCAAGUCAUAGCACCGUCUGAGAGUAAUUGUGUACCACAAUCUACUUGCAGAUCAUUUGGUAUCUUAAUUUGAAUCAUCGUUUCCUCUACCUUUCUAAUCCACCUUCCUGCCACUUUAGCAUCCUGUUCACAACCCAUUUCUCUCAUACUUUUCACCAAUCGAACUAGAUGUACCAUUUAUCAGUAGCUCUAGCUGCUUCUGAAACAAUUUGUAUGAUGUGUGCAGGUGGGGGUGCUGGCAUAGGAGUGGCAACAUUAGCCAUACCUUCCAUUACUGCUUUGACUAGUUGGGCCAAGAGCAUCGAAUCAACAUAAGAAACAGAUGGCCCUGCAGGUGUAGUCUGAGGGGGCUCCUCUGCUUGUUCCCGUGGGGUUGACACGGUCGGCCGGACAUCCCCAGUUUUCCCUGGUGCCUGUCUGACUUGAGGCCCUGUUGAUUCUUCAUGCCCUGCUUGAGUCGAUAUUGCUGGUGCAUGUGAAGCAGUAUCUUCCAAAGGGCUCUCUUCUUGCCCCUCAUAAAAGUCUAUAUCUUUGUCCCCCCUCCCUGUAGAGGAUAUAUCUGUUCUAAUCUCUUGACGGGUACGUACCAUCCUGCAAUAAAUUAACAAACAUCAACAACCCUUUUUGAAUUCUUCCUAGAAUCCAUACUAGGGCUCUGAUACCAACUGUAACAGACUCGAUUGUACGAUUUGAUCAACGCUAAAAGAUCCCAACAUGUGCUCUUAAUUUGAGGGUAAAUUUUUUUUUUUGUAAAGAAUUCUACCAAAAUUUCAGUAGAGUUUCAUUUGUAUUUAGGACAUCCCAAGUUAUCGACUACUAUCAAUUUACUCAAUCAACCCAUCAUCACAAGCUCCCAUAAUUCUAGACCUUAUUUCAAUCAUUAAUAUUCAAUACCCAAUACAAUCCACACAAUAUAUAUAUACCCUACGAAUAAGUUCAAUAUGAACAUAGCCCACAAAUCAUAUUAUAAAAUUUAAAAGAAAAAGGGAUACUAACAUGUAAAGAGAGAAUUUAAAACAUAAUAAGUAUUCUUAAAUAUUCCAAAAGGGUUAAUUACAGGAUAACUAAUAUACUAUAUGUUGAGCUAAGACUUUUAUAUAAACAUCAAGGUUUACACAAAAGCAUACUGCAUAAUCGCGUUAAUUCCAUUAUGCUUAAGUUAAAUUUUUAUUUUCCUCAAAUUCAUUCAAGAACCCUAACUUUCCAAAUUUCAAAAAUUCAUUCAAUUAAGGACUUUAAGCCAUUAAAAAUCAGAUCAAAAGUCUUUAGAAUGCCUUACCAAGCAAGUAAUUAAACUCUAAACACUACCCAAUUCAAGCUUCCAACUCCUCUUCUUAUUUAAUCUUGGUCGAACUUCCCUUCUCCUUUUCUAUUCACCUUCACUAGAUUUUUCUUCCUUCCAAUUAAUGUUCACUAAGAUUGGUUAAUGUUCCCUCAAGAUCUCCUCUUAAGAUUUUAUGUUUCCUUUACCACUUUUUUCUCUCUCACAUGUAAAUGGUAGUUUCCCCUUUUUAUUUUUUUCUCUCUUUUUUCUUCUUGCUCGUGCACACACACAUGCACACUUAUAUAUAUUAACUUUUUACCAAAUUUCCUCUAUAUCCCAAAUAGUAAAUUUCUUGUUCCCGAGAUAAAAUUCCUGGAUCCUGGUAUUUGUCUAUAUAAACUUUUUAUCCGGGUGAAUUCAAAUUUCAUUUAGUUACAUACUGAUAAUUUUAUUUCCAGGUAACUCACUCUUGGUAAUAUUUUAUUCACUUUUCUGUAUUUUUUUUUGUACUUGGUUUGUUCUAAUACUUAUUUGGUACUUCUAAUAAAUCUAUUCUAUAAGCAUUUAGAUUGCUUUUCUGCCUAAUUUUCAACUGGGAUUUACAAAUAUAAUACACACACACACACACACACACAUGUAUAGUAUUAUUCAUUUUAUCAUUUAAUACAUGUAUACAUAUUUCAAAUAUAUCUAUUACUAUUUUAUUUUUUGUUGAAUAUUAAAUAACAGUAGAACAAUGAAUACCAAUAUGGAUAUAUACUCGAAUAAUAAUGAGUAGGGUAUAGAUAUAGAAAAACCAAACUCGUAGAUAUCCAUUGCGAUCCUUAUACAUAAUUUCAAUAUAUAAAAUCAAUGCAUUAAUUCACUUAUUUUUAUUUUACAAAGAUAAAAUGAUGAUAAGUGCAAAAUAUACAUAUGUUUUUAUUCAUUUUACAUUAUGCUUUUAAUGUGUUUUAAGCUUAUUUGAGCUCAUUGAAAAUAAUUGUAUGAGUUUGGCAUGCGUAAGAGACUUGGUGAAUUAAUUGCUAAAAGAUAAGAAAUUCUAUAUUUUAUGUUUCGACCCUUGGUUUUUUUGAUAGGUUUUUCACCAAGUUGGAGUUACAGAAUAAGAACGUGGCUUAAUCAAAGUUGAACUACACAUAUCCAGCUUUUCAGGAAGGUAUUAUGGGCAGAAAUCUAAUCUCAUUGGAACCGUUAAUCAGGUCUGCAAAAUCAAGCCAAUAUCUUACUUGCAGCAAAAUUCUUUACUUUCACACUAGAUAUUCAAACGGGCAUAUCUUGAGUUUCAGAUAUCGAUAUCAAGAAAUUCAAAAGCCCAGAUUCAUCUAAACAUCAAGGGAUAUAACUUUUAUAAAGGGCUCCAGGUUAGAUAAAAUUAUUUUCAAGAUGAAAAUCUUGAUGCAAGCCGGAUGACGAGUUUUGUCUCCUAAUCUAAUGGGAAACUAACAAGAUGGGAAUCCUGUCGUUUAAAGAAAAUCUAAUAGGAUCAUAUAGAUAUUGUCUAUAGCCUUCUAAUUGUCAAUUUCGAUUCAAGGGGAAUAAACACCUUCUUCAUUAUCAAGUUGUGAGAAGUAACAUUAUCAUUGUAAUUCUUUGAGACACAAGUACUUAUUUUUUCUUAUUUCAAAAUUAUGCUAUUGAUUUCCGCUCAACACAAUUGAAUUGUUUUGAGAUGACAUGUAUGCUUUCUAGUUUCUUUCAAUCCGUAAUUAUUGUUAGAGACUGGAUUUAGAAGCAAAAGAAUUAAUUUGAUUGUUGCAGCUCUCAUCUUAAUUUAUCAGGGAAGAAUAAGUUAAGUUAAAUUGUCAAGCUUUUAAAUGGUUGCUUAGUAUAAAUUUGAUAGACUUCGCUCUUAAGGUUACUUUUGAAAUAAUAAGAAUUGAUUUUCAAUAUUAAAUUUUUUGAUGGUAAGAAAUUGAUUAGAAAGCUUUGUCUAAUUAAUUUACUAAUAGUCUCCUCGAUUCCACUUAGCUUUAAGAGAUAUCAAAUUUAUUUGCAUGACUUGAAAGAACAUUUACUUUUAUUUUGAUGAUCAACAAAUUUAUAAGAACGAAUGUAUGGACCUUUUGAAUUGAGUUAACAACAUAUCAAUUUUUCAAUUUUAUUUCUAGAAUUUCAUUUCUUUAAUUAUUCAAAUCCCCUCAUUUUAUUUAUUUUAGUUUCUUGUAGGAAGAUUAAACAAAAUUUUCCAAAUAAAAACAUGCAAAGUGUGUGAGAUAUUUGUUUUCGGAAGUUAGUUGAAUGAAUAUUAUAAGAUGGUUGAAUAUAACCAUAAAAUUUGAAAUUUGAGAAUUUUUAGAUCAUUGUGAAAAAUCUUGCAAUGACUAUUAUAUGUACCGAUCAUUUUUAUAAAAAUAACGAUUGACUAAUAAACCCAAGAUUCUAACCUUAGGCUUUGUCUUUCGGAUAUUGAUUAAUAAAGAAAAAUAAAAAUAAAAAUAAAAUUGUCCUUGUAUUAAUUGUUCCUAUCAAUUGAUUAAUUAAUCCAAGAUAGAAUGGUCUUAUACCAGGUCCUGUCUUUCAGGUGUCGUUUAUCGAGUAACAGGAUCAAUUAAUAUUUGAUCGAUGAAUUAAUUGUUUCUAUCAAUUACUAAUUGACUCAUGAUGAUAUGAUCUAAUAUUGGGCUAUGUUCUCUUGGUGUCGAUAAGUGAAUAAUAGUACCAAUUAAUACAUGAUUUCUAGGAUAUUAACCAAUAAAAUUAAGUAGCCCAAGAUGGAAUGGUUCAAUAGGGGCCUAUUCUUUGGAUGCUAUGUAAUGAAUAAUAUGAAUUUAAUUUUCAACCUGCAAUAAGCCUCAUAUAUAGAUGUGCUCAUCAUUUCCAAAUAAUCGCGGAUUGAAAGGUCAAUAGUAUAACUUGUUCUUUAAAUCUUGUUUAAUAAAUAAUAAGAACAAUACAUCGAAUAACAUAUAUAACAGUUUAGGUGAACCACAAGAAAACACAUUUAUCAUUGAAAACAAACAACAAUGCAGCCUACCUUAAUUAUGAUGUAUAGAGUUAUGUCUAUCUUACCUAUUACAUAACCAACUCCUUACCAAAACCUCUAAAGACCUGUUAGGGUUUCUAGUUACCAUAAAUCUAGGUAGUGACUCAUUUUUCUUGUUUUACCUUUUUUUCACAUAGCUCGCCCCGAUGUCCACAUGCAAUACAAAUUUGACCAAGUGAACCGGGUUGCAAGUUGACCUUUUAAGUCACUCGGGUUUGACUGGAUCAUUGUCCACUUCUGUUUAGAAGAAAAUCAAACCAAAACAAGGUUUUGGGUUAGCAAAUCACGAACGCAUCCUGUUGGACUAGACCAAGUUUAAUGACUAUGACUUACAUAACCUCUCAUAGAAAUUGCACUUGGAUCUAAGUUUUUUGAGGUAAAAAAAAUUAUAAAAAUAGCACAAUUAAUUAGUUGCAUUGUUAGUAACGACUCAACCAUAUAAAUUACAUUACUCUCAACAAUACAAUUCAAUAUGUUACACUAUUAAGAAUAUCAGAAACCUAUUGAAAUAUAUAUUUUUUAUUUUAAUUUAGAAUUUUAAAUAAUUUUUUUCCUCUGCAAAUCAAAAUAACUAAUUUAUUGAUGUCAUUUUAUUCUCAAUAAUUAUGAUAAUUAUUAAUGAAAAUGAUUGGUUAUAAUCAAUUUAUAUUUCAAUAGGAUUCCUUAACUUAUAAUUAAUUAAUAAUUAUGAUAAUUAUCAAUGAAAAUGAUCGGUUGUGGUCAAUUUAAAUUUCAACAAGAUUUCUUAAUAGGUUAGUUGUAGUCAAAUUAAAUUUCAAAAGAAUUCUUUAACUUAGUAGGUUAAUUAAUAAUUAUCAAUGAAAAUAAUUAGUUGUAGUUGAUAUAAAUUUUCUUAACUUGGUUAAUUAAUAAUAAUCAUAAUUAUCACACCGUGACGAAUGCGAGACUCUUCAAAAUUAAAGGAAAACAAUAAUGAAGUCACCACCUAGUAAUAAAAAAAACUAGGAAUCCUAAAAUAGACACUGGUAAGAGAUUUAGAUAUUGAGUUAGUUAUGCCUAAGGAAAGAUCGAUGUCACCCUUACCGUAUCCUUUCAAACAAAAGGUUACCUCCAUAAUGUUUUUUUCCAAAUUUAUUCUAUGCAUGCUAUUAAUUAUCUAAAUCUAUUUCUAUUUCUAUUUGUGAUUUAUAUUAAUAAAAAAUUGACGUUCCCUAAAAAUAUUAUCCUCCAUAAUUUUUUUCUUGGUGAUGUUCCCUCACAAAUACCAAGAGUUUUAUCCUAAUUCUCAAAGGAUUACAAGAAUGAUUUUACUCACAACAAAACUCUCUCAAAGAGUAGAUAAUACAAUUUAAACUCUAGUAUCUCCAUAGCUCACUUAAUAGAUAGAUGAUUUGAAAGUGUUUAAGUGUAGUGAGUAUAAGAACAAAUACUCUAGUGCUAGAAUAUGAAGGCUCAAUUUAACACAACCUUGGAGUAUGAUAGGAUUGAUGAUUUUUUGUUGGUUUUUUCUUAAAACAACUUUUAUAAUAUGUAUAUUUGGAAUCCUCUUUUACUUUAACUAGAAUGAGAGUUAUUUAAAAGUUUCCAAAACAAACUAGCCAUUUCUAGCCAUUGUAACCCCAUUGAUAGCUAAAGCGAUCGACUGAUUUAGAUUGGGCAAGCCAAUUAGUCGUCUGGUUCCUAUAGAUUCUUAGAUGUUCAUCACGAAUGAACAAGUGGUACACUAGUUCACUUGGUAUUACCAAGUGGUCGACUGGUUCAACUUAAAUACUAGAUUUUGACAAUUUGAACCUGCUGAAUUUUGAACCGAUACUAAUCCUAUAUAUAUGCAGAGUGAUGUGUUUAAGUUCAUUUUAAUUGUGCUAUUAAGUUAAGAUAUAAAGAUUUAUAUAAUCACUAAAAUGAACAAUUAAUUAUUGGAUUCUCAAAUGUUCUUCACUUGCUUCGGUGGCUAGGUUUCAAAGAAAAAGAAGACUAAGAAAUGAACAAUUAAUAAUUAAAAUGAACAAUUAAUUAUUAGAUUCUCGGCCCAACCAGGGUGGGUUCAACCCACAUCAUUAGGCUGGGCCCAACCCAAUAUAUUUUUAUAAUAUAAUAAUAAUAUUAUAUAUUAAACAAAAAGUUCCAAAUUUUUUCAAAAAAACCUUUUAAAAAAUUUGUGAUUUUUUCACGUAUUUUUCUAUCAAUUUUGAUUAAUAUUGGUUUGUAUUUUUAUAUUGUAAAAAUACAAAUCUGGUAUUAAAAUACAUAAUUUUCUUUGAAAUGUUGCAUAUAUAUAUAUAUAUAUAUAUAUAUAUAUAUAAAUUUCAUAUCGUAUUUUCAUGAAAAAUAAAAUUAAAAAAAAAGUGUUAGCAUACAUUUUGAGCUUUAAUAACCAGUUUAUUAAAGUCAUGACAACUAGGCCUAUAUUUUAAAAAUACAAAAAAAAUAUAUUUUGUUUUCUUUUAGUAUCUGAGAUUACAAACUUUUAUUUAUAGACAUUAGAAUGAUUAGGUUUUUACCGAUAUUAAAAAUAUAGUUCUUUUAUAUAUAGAUAUUAGAACGGUUAGGUUUUUACUCGAUAAGAUUAUGAUCUUCUUACUGAGGAGAAUAUUUUUUAAACCUUUGAUAGACCAACAAUUAGAAAACACAACAAUACUCUAGUUAUAUUAGACAAUCAAACCAUGUUAAAAACAGAGUUUACAAUUCCUGUCAUUAUUAGUGUAUGUCAUUGGCAGCUAUUAUUAGUAGUCGGAGGGAGUAGUUGUUGUUGUCCUAGGAUUCAAGCAACAAUACACCUAAAAAGAAAGGUGAAUUAAGUGUUCCACUAAUAAUAACAAAUAUUAAAAUUAAUUCAAUUAAACACAAUUAACGAACAAUAUAAUUAAAUUGCGUAAAGUAGAGAGUAAAGAGAUAGGAAUUGUAAACUCUAUUUUUAACAUGGUUUGACAAGUCUAUAUCCGCAUCUCAAGCACCCAAAUUGGUCUUGUGUAUUUUGUUCUUUCACUAGUCCAAGUUGAAGAUUACAAUUGUCACUUGAUGAAUCCACACCAAGAUUUUACAUUACUUGAAGAUAUAUUUUUUUGACAGUUUGAACCUACUGAAUCUUGAAUCGAUACUAAUCCUAUAUAUAUACAGAGUGAAGUGUUUGAGUUCAUUUUAAUUAUGCUAUUAAAUUAAAAUAUAAAUAUUUACACAAUUACUAAAAUAAUCAGUUAAUUCUUAGAUUCUAAUUUGAUCUUCAUUUGCUUCGGUGGCUAGGUUUUAGAGAAGAAGAAGGCUAUUUUUUAUUUCUACACUUUCACUCCAUUUUUUUUUCUUUCUCUAUCUUAAAUUUUUCUUCAAGGGUUGCUAGGGUUUCUUACCCACUCCUUUUCUUUUCCUUCUAAUUUUUCUAUGGAGGCUAGAGUAUUUUUUAACAAUCAUAUCCUUUGAUUUCUUUGGGUCGAUUUUGACCCUUCAUUGUUGUUGUAUAUUUGGGACAAAAUGCUCGUCUUCUAUAAAGCUCACACCAAAUCUUAAUCAUAAAGAGUGGGGAUGAGAGAGAGAGAAAAGAAGAAGAAGAAGAAGAAAACGGGGCUGAAAAACUUCACUGCCAUUUUUCAAAAUCAGACGACCCGUUUCCUUUCAAAGGUUAGCCAAAAAGUUCCCAUACACACCCAUUAGCGAGCUUCUUCUUUACCAAAAAAAAAAACUAAAAAAAUUAGAUCAUCAUUUUCAAACCACCUUCUAGCUAGAACUGGAAACAAAAAAACAGUACAGACUCUCUCAUCAGCGCUGCCUCUUUCGCCACCCUCGAGUUACUAUCCUGCCCCACGUUGACUCCAGGAACCAUAGCCGCUGCUUCCACAGUACCAUUAACCUGAGGUGUUCAUUACCGGAAUCAUAACCCAAGGCAGGGCAGGAGCCCACUCACAUCGUCCAUGUGCAUCUUCAGCGUGGUCGUUCUACUUUCUUGCCUCUGACCUCUCUGGACUUAGCUUUAUUCAAGCACUAGCCACUCAAAAAAAGAGUGAAGAAGAGGUACGGGAUAUCCAGUGGAGCUAUCUCCAUCAUAAUCACUCAAGGUAUAAAGCUUCUACCUAUUCUCAUGUAGUUGUAAUCUUUUACAUGUGCAUGCUACUGCAAAGGCAAGCUCCCGUUUUUCCUUUAUGUGCUAUGAAGUUAACAUAUAGUGUUGUAAGGUGUGUGGAUCUUUUAAGUCCUAACCUGGUCACGGGUGUUCUUUCACUUGCUACGGGUACUGAAGGGGAUGGGGUGUGAUUUUUCCUUCAAACGCAUAUGGUCUUGAAAACUUGAUUGCAUGUCCUAAGGUCAUGUUAAGACCUUGCCUAGUUAAUUAAGAAUGCUCUUACCCAAGGUUAAAGUUCAAGAACGGUAUGAGAAGGUGGAAAAAGAUGUUGAUAACUAUAGGGGUCAUAGGUUUCCCUUCUUUUUUUUUUUUGUCUUUAGAAAAUAAAAAUACAUAGGACUGUCAAGGAGUUUUUCCAUACCAUGCUUGGGCUUUGGAUGUAUGUUUCCUUGACAUGAGAUGAUUGCUACCUUGCUUUAGAUCCCUUGUUAACGAUGAUGCAUGAACCAGGCAUGGAAAUCUUCAAUGACUAUCGUGCAUGAUUUUUAUGUUCAAAAAGAUCCAGUCCUCUAGCUGUGCAUAAUUAUUGGCCAAGCCGUAAAUAAAAUGAUUUUUGGUUGAAGAAGAAUCGGUAUGUGGAAGGGUUUCUGGUUCAUUUCUUCUUACUGUCCCAUGGCUUUUCGUUAAUGCUAGUACAGCUAUAUUUCUCUUUUCUAAAGUUAAGUAGGUUGAUAUCUAGAAAUAGGUUUAUCACGGGUUUAAGAAUAUCAAAGAAAAGAAAAGAAAAGAAGCUAAAAAAAAAUAAUUUUAAUUAUUUUUCAUGUUUUGAAGAGCGUUUUUGCAAUUAAUUUUUCAUUCUUUACCCUUUUAUAUUUAAAAACAAGUUUAUUAAAGCCACAUGUAUCUGGUCUUAGUUUGAAAAAAUUAAAAAUAUUAAUUUAUUUAUUUUAAUACAAUGAAUUAUGAGUUUAUACGUAAGAUAUAUUCUCAAUAUUAAAAGAAACAAAUGCAAAACAUGUCUUGGCUCUAGAAUAAUCAGGAUUGUCCCAUAAAGCCAUGGUUCUCUCUACUCGGAUAGACCUUUUUUAACCAAUAGACAAAUCAAUGAUUAUAAAAAGAAAACAUUACCUUAGUAAUAAUCAGAAAAUAAACAAUACAACUUAUCUUAGGUAUGAUAACUAGAGUUGAUGAUAAUGUCCAUCUUAUACAUAACUUGUCCCUUGUCCAAACUUUGAAGACUAGUUAUGAUUUUUAGUGAUUAAAAUACAAGAUGACGACUUUAAGUAUUUUUUAUUUAUAAAGGACAAGAAGUCCAUGUUCUUUCCACACCACACCAAAGUCCUGAACUAGGAGGAUGAUCACAAUGAUACCACAUCUGUGCUACAUUCAACAUUGUACUUUUCAUGAGUUAUCCUUUCUAUUUUUCAAUUACUUUGAUCCAAAUAAUGUGUUACCCUCUCAACAUUCUUAAAAGUUAACAUGUACUUUUACUAAUUGAUCUAACUAUGAAUGUGGUGCGAUGUAAAUGAGUAUACAAGAUUAAACGUAUGGAAGAUGGGACUUUUAAGGACUACAAAACAUGUUUGGUGGCCAAUGGCUACUAUCAACAAAAAAGGGUUUGAUUUUCAAGAGACAUUUAGUCUAGUGGGGAAGCCUUGCACUAUUCAGACAAUGCUUGAUAUUAGUGAUACUUGAGGUUGGUCGGCUUAUUAGAUUGAUAUCUAUAUACAUACAUACAUACUACUUUUCUCAAUUUUCUUGAUUCAGAUGUGUUUAUUACCCAGCCUCUUGACUUUACUAAUUAUCAAUUCCCAAACUAUAUUUGCAAACUAAAACAUUUUUUUUUAUGGUUUAAAACAAGCACCUCAUGCAUGGAUUGAUUGCUUAGUGAAUUCUUAGUUUCUCAAUGAAUUUUAUAUUUUCAAAUUUUUAAGUGAAUCCAAGUUAUAUGAUCGUGAUAACUAAAAAAAAAUGAACUAAAUUUAUUUAUAAAAUUAGCAUUGCAUGCUUAGAUUUAAAAUCAGUAAAAAAUCCCAUAGAAAGAUUAGCACCUGAUAAUGACAAGUUAACUCAGGAAACAAAUUAAGGUAACAACAAUGUUUUGAAAUUGAAUUCGACACUAGGUAUACUUAGUACAUAUAAGUUGAAGGACUGCUACCUUGACCAAUGAACUGAAAAUAUCGUUAAUUUAUAAUGAAUGGCAUACACCAUACAGUUUUACCAUAUCAACAGCAUGAAAAUUGAUAAUCGAUCCUUUUGGGAUAUGUCAAUCCCAAAUCUAUUAUUCCAUUUCUUUAUUAAUUAUCAUAAAAACAUUUAUUAAAUGUGUUGUCCUCCAACUCUUUCCAUAAAAAGAAAGAGUUGUGAACCACCACAUACAUUUGAUCAUGGACAAAAGGUAAUCAAAUAGUUGCCUCCACUAGGACAAGUAAACGUGCUCGAUUUAUCAUCAUAAGCAUAACUAUAAGCUUGAGGACACUGCUGCUUGAAAGUCAUCGAAUAUUGGUUAGGUUGACAUUUGUCAGGUGUACUGUACUCUCCUGUGCAGCAGAACUGCGGCUGGUGAAAUUCCAAACACGCGCUCUUGCAGGCAAUCACAGUCCCAUCUGCCCCCUUCACUGCUAAUCUAGGAUCACAAACAGCAUUCACGUUAGCUGCACAGCUUGUAGAAGGGCAGCCAGUAGAACCUCCUUGCGGGGUUACCGAAAUUGGGGUGUUAAAGCCAUCAACAAGGCUUAUAUCGUAAAAAUCUUUCCCACCAUCACCUCUUAGAGUAAAUUCUGCCAAGGAUGCUGGUGGGAUCGCACCGGCUCCAUUGCAUUCUAUGACACCAGAGGCACAGUCAGCAGUAGCACAAACAAACUUUCCGGAGGCAUCUGUAGAGCAUUGAGUUCUGGCCCACAAGCGACCAGACCAUGUUGCAGGGACACUUAGCGAAGAUGAAGCACCUGUUGCCAAUGUGAAGCUAGUUGAAGAUAUAGGCGGACGGCCAGCAGCCGUUAGAGUUCCUGGCCAGACUGUGUAUGGACAGUUGUUUUUGACGACGAAAGUCACAGAUUGAGCUCCUGCAUGCGUGCAAGCUGCGCAAGAUUUAUUUUUGUUGAUAUCAAUAAUUAAAUCUUGGUCCAUUCAAAGAAAAUUUUAAACAGUCAUGGUUCACGAGUAAACUGACUCGAAAAUAUUUUUAUUAUCAAAUAAAAACACGAACUCUUGUUUCAUGCUAAUUUAUGUGAAUCUAUUUUUUUAUUCAUAUAAAAAGAAUAGGACUUGAAUCUAAGACUUGGCCUUCGUUUUCUCUACGGGACUAAACGUCCGUACAUAAUUCAAUAUUUAAAAUCUUGCAUUAAUUCACUUAUUUUUCUUUUAAAAAGAUAACAUAACCCAGGUUUAUUUUUUAAUAUAUUUUUUUCUUUUUUCUUUUUUAUCCGGAAACUCCCUCCUGGAUAUGUUUAUUGGAUUCACGAAAUCCAUUGAAUAAUGAAAAAGUAAUUAAUAUUGCAUAUGCAAACAGAAAAUAUAUAUGCAAGCUGCGCGAUAUUGCAUAUGCACACAGAAAAUAUAUAUGUAAGAGCAAGCAGACUAAUCAAAGUGAAUAAUAUGCACAAUAGAGUUUUGCAUGCAAGAAUCUAAUAUAUGUAAUAUUGUAAAAGUACUUGCCAUAGAGGAAGAUGACGAGGGUGAAGGUAAUUAUAGCAAAGGGCAUACGACUCCCCAUUGCCGAGAUUUGAGGUAAGCAAGAAACACUCUAUGAACCCGUUUGCCUACGUGGUGGCGUCCACGUUUCCAACAGCUAAAUUGUGCAAGCUGUUUGGUUAAGUAACAACUGCUUAUUACUGUACAUGGAACCCAUGCAAUACAGCGUUUGAAACGCAGGAAUAAAGGAAGCAGCUAGGAGCUGCUUCCUGCACGUUGCAAGAAAAGAACCAUGCUUCACUGUUCAGUGAACAGUGGAUGCAUGGCUCCACUGUUCACCGAAUAGUUUUUUUUUUUAAUGAGUGCAGUUAAUUAAUUUCACUCGUACUGAACGUGAACAACAAUUUUUUUUUGUUCUUUUAAAAAAUUAGUUUAAGGUGCAUUACAUUUACUUGUACUAUAAUCUCAAUUUUAUUUCUGAUAAUAUUUUACCUAAUUUUGUAGUUUUUGUCGGAUGAAUUUUGUACGUAAUGGAAUUGUAGAUAGUUUAAUGAAACAAUAUUUUUUUUUUAUAUAUAAAGUAUGAUUUAUUUCACGAUGUAAUAACAAUAGUUAACUCCAUAAUAUUUAAAUUAAAAACCAUCAAUAUUAAUAUAUAUUUUGUAAAAUUAUUUUAUAACCUCAAUUUCAAAAGCACUUUUAACCAACACACAUUAAACUACUUUUUCUUCAACCUCAAUUUCAACCACAGUUUUAACCAAACACCUAUUUUUUCAAAUCAACCUCAACUAAAAGUACUUUUUAUAAAACAACUUUUUUCAAAUCACAACCACAACAGCUACCGCAAUACCAAACACACUUUAUAUUUUAAAAAGACUGUGUUUGCCACUUAUAAAUAGUAGUCAAAUAGAGGAACACGUGGAAAUCAAAAAGAGAGAGAGAAAAAAAAAAGAAGUUUGUCACUGCCAAACCAAGCAACCAUCUGCCACACGGUGUGACAUUUGACAAUGAAUGACCCUACACUUAUUAACCAUUAUUUUAAUAUUAUUUAUAUUUAUUAAAUUAUUAAAUUAAAAAUUGUCAAAGAACUAAUUCAACCUAAAUUGUUAGGUAAGACUCCCAGAUAUGAUUUAUAUUAUUCUCUAACACACCCCUUCAAGUGAAAGCCAUUUGAGUUUGAAACUUGCACAGAUCCACAUUACCUUGUGCUUAAUUUUUAUUAAAUAAAUGAGGAUGAUGAGAUUUGAACUCGUAACCGCUUGGUCAUCAAGGCUCUAAUACCAUGUCAAAGAACCAAUUCAAUCCAAAAGCAGGCGACUGGGAUGAAGAGUCCAUUGUAGAGGGGAGAGAGAGUUUUUUAAUUUAUUUAGGGCUUUGAUAUCAAAUUGAGAAUAAUAUAAUGACUUAAGUUGUGUCUUAGCCAACAUUUCCUAUUUAUAUAUAUGCGGUAGUACACGAUAGUAACUGUAGGAAUCACAAUAUUGGAAUAAUCCUACAUUAAUUCAUAUACAUAUAUAUACGUGCUAUACAUUCUAUAAUAAUCAAGAAUUAUCUGUGCUAAUAAAUAUAAAAGAAACUCGUUAAUAAUAAGUAAAGACUAAACAAGAAAAAUCAAGAGAUAAAUGUAAAACAAAAUAUUUGAUAUCGCAACACGGAGCAUGUACCUAGUUGUGUUUAAUAAUUUUUUUAUUUGAAUAAAUUUGUAUUUAAUCAAAGGAUUAUUUGUGCCAAUAAAAGGAUGUCUACCCAAUACAAUUUUUUAUUUAUUUUGUAUUUCAAAAUAUUAUGAAAUGAGCAUCAUAUGAUUAUAUUUAAUUAAUUAAUUAAUUAAAUUAUAUUAAAUGAAAAAAAUAAAUAUCUAUAAAAAAACAAAAAAAAAAUACUCAAGAUAUCCCGAGUCAUUUUUAAAAUAAGUGAACAAUCCUACAGAAAGAAAAAAAACUUAUAGAGGAUCAUAUUGUAAAAAAAAUCAAAUUAAAAAUUAUUUCAAAUAAAAAAAUAGCAAUUAAAAAAACAUGGACAAAAUUUGAAAAAUGAAAUAACAGAAGGGGAAUGAAAUUGUCAAGGAAUUCCAAUUUUAUAAAUUAUUUCAAACAAAACAAACAAUAAUCAAAAGAAUAGGGACCAAAUCCAAAAGAAUAACAAAUUGAAGGCGUGCUUUGAAAUUUUGAAGGGGCACACGCGAAAAUCAAGUAGAAAGAAAGAAGAAAAAGAAAAAGAAAAGGUUGUCGGCACUAAACCGAACAACUAUCUAUCACACGCACUGCCUCAUCCACGACGGUCUUUGGUCAACGAACGACCCUACACCUGCCACCUGAAGUGCACGGAGACCACCCAUGCACUGACCUGUACUCAUCAACUAUUUUUUUAAUAUUAUUUAUAUUUAUUAAAUUACAAAAUUGGAAAUAAACCACCAUGAUAAAAAAUAAAAAAAAAACCCAAUGAAAUAUACAAAUGCCCUUGGUUUCAACCUUAAGCGACUAAUUAACUAGAUAUCUCAAUUAAUGAGAAAGCAGAAUAGUAAACAGGAAAUUAGAGGAACGCCCUGCUUCUCACGUCAAAUGAAAGCAACACCCAAUUGAGUAACGAAUGUAACUCUGGUCCCUUGGUUUGAACCACAAGUGACUAACUAGCAGACUAGUCAACAGCCUAUUAGAGGAAUUGAAUGAAAGCAAUUGAAUGCAGGAAGAGGGCCAGGCUAGUAAACAGCCAACAGUGGCAGUUCUCCUCCAGCAUGUGCAACUGAGGAGCCGUGACGAAGGCGACACUCUUCAAAAUAAAUCUUGAAUCGAUUGACUGAUGCUCUUUUCUUUUUUGUCGGUGUAUAAAUUAGUGGUUAGCUAAUUAAUUAUGUCCCACGGGCUAUCGAUACCAUCCAUUACCAGGUUCCAUGAAAAAAAUAAAAAAAUAAAACAAGGGAUUGAUUAGUAGAGCGUUUACGUUUUCACUCUUCAAAAUUAUCACACCGUGAUGAGUGCGAGACUCUUCAAAGCCAAUUGUCGAAUGAAUGUAACUCUGGAAUUAUUCCAAAUCCACAAGUUUGAUAGUGUUGUGUUGAUUGUGAGACAUUAUUUUAAAAACUGAAGGGGAAAAAUUGUUAAAGAAUUCUAAUUUUAUAAAUUAUUCUAAAUAAAACAAGUAAUAAUCAGAAGAAUACGAAUAAAUAACAAAUUGAAAGCGUGUUUUAAAAUUUUAAUGCCAAUAAUACGUGGUCUACCCAAUACAAUUUAUUUAUUUAUUUUGUAUUUCAAAAUGUUAUGAAAUCAGCAUCACAUGCAUAUAUUUAAUUAAUUAAUUAAAUUAAAUUAAAUGAAAAACAUUUCUACAAAAAAGAGAAAUUAAAAAAAAACAACAACAAAUAAAAAUACUCGAGAUAUCCAAUUAAAUAAAUGUUAAAGGAUGAAACUGAAAUAAACAUGAUCUUAAAAAAAGAAAAAAAAACCAAUCAAACUUGGGCAAACCUCCUAAACUUGGGUUAAUCUCUAAAACUUGCAACUCAUGAAAUCCUAGACUCGAGCUUGGUUAAGAAGCACAAUUCUCAACUAAUUUAAUGUUGAAUAAUGAAAACAAGAAAAAAAUCAUUAUAAAAAAAAUGUCAAAGUGAAAAAACAUAGCAAUCAAAAGAAUGAGGAUUAAAUCUGAUAGGAAAAAAAAAUUAUGAAGGAUGAUAUUGUAAAAAAAAUCAAAUUGAAAAAUUAUCUUAAAUAAAAAAAUAACAAUCAAAAGAAUAGGUACAAAAUUUGAAAGAUAAAAAAACUGAAAGGGGAUGAAAUUGUCAAAGAAUUCCAAUUUAAUAAAUUAUUCCAAACAAAAUAAACAAUGAUAAAAAAAACAUCACCAAAUCCAAAGGAAUAACAAAUUGAAGGCGUGUUUUGAAAUUUUGAAGGGACACCUGUGAAAAUCAAGGAGGGAGAAAAGAAAAAGAGAAAGAAAAGGUUGUCUGCACCAAACCAAACAACCAAUUCACUUGGUCUUACCAAACAGUUGACCGGAUCAACUUAAAUACUAGAUUUUGAGUGAAGUGUUUAAGUUCAUGUUAAUUGUGCUGUUAAGCUAAGAUCUACAUAAUCACUGAAAUGAACAAUUAAUUCUUAAUGGCUAAUGAAUGUAACUCCGGUCCCUUGUUUGAACCACAAGUGACUAACUAGAUAUCUCAAUUAAUAAGAAAGCAGACUACUAAAUAGCCAACAGUGGCAGUUCUCCUCCAGCACCAGCAACAGACGAGCCGUGACGAAUGCAACACUCUUCAAAAUUAUCACAAUGGGAGACUCUUUAAAAUUGAAAGAAAAAAAUAAUAAAUUCACCAUCUAAUAAUUAAAAAAUAGAAAUAAAAAAAUAAACAUUGGUUAGAGAUUUAGACAUUGAGUUAGUUAAGUCGAAGGAAGAUCGAUGUUACCCUUACUGCAUCCUUUGAAAUGAAAGGUUACCUCCACAAUGCAUUUUAAAAAAUUUAUUCCAUGCAUGAUAUUAAUUAUCUAAAUUUAUUUCUAAUCUUAUUUGUGAUUUAUUUUAAUAAAAAAUUGGUGUCGGUCCCUAAAAAAAGAAGACUCGUCGAUAAAGAAAAAUCUUGAUGUCAAUCCCUAAAAAUAGAUAAUUUCAUCGAUUUAGAAAAAAAAAUAAUUUUAAUCUCUAAAACUAGAGAUUUCAUUGGUUUAAAAAAUUUUGACGUUAAUCUUUAAAAACAGGAGAUUUCAUCAAUUUAGAAAAAAAAAUUGGCAUUAAUCUUUAAAAAUAUGUGUUUUCAUCGAUUUAGGAAAAAUUGGACAUCAGUCCCUAAAAUAGAUAAUUUCAUCAAUUUUUAAAAAAUAUGAUAUUAAUCCUUAAAAAUAGGAGAUUUCAUUGAUUUAGAAAAAAAAAUUAACAUUUAUAUUUUUUUGAAUCCAAUACAAUAUAUACAUAUCUCAAUAUUGAUAUAGCGUGCACGCGCGCUCACACACGCUCGCGCACACAACAUAUAUAUAUAUAUAUAUAUAUAUAUAUAUAUAUAUAUAUAUAGUAUUAUUAAUUUUAUCAUUUAAUACAUGUAUACAUAUUUCAAAUAUAUCUAUUACUAUUUUAUUUUUUUGUUGAAUAUUAAAUAACAGUAGAACAAUGGAUACCAAUAUAGAUAUACUCGAAAUCCAAUGAAUAAAGUAUGAAUAUAUGAAUUUUUUACUCGAUGAAUACUUGGCAGGGUAUAAAUAUAAAAAAUACUAUCCCGUAGAUAUCCAUUGUGAUCCCUAUACAUAAUUUCAAUAUAUAAAAUCAAUGCAUUAAUACAUUUAUUUUUCUUUUACAAUGAUAAAAUGAUGAUAAAUAUAGAAUAUUCAUAUGUUUUUAUUCCUUUUACAUUAUGCUUUUAAUGUGUUUUAAGCUUAUUUGAGCUCAUUGAAAGUAAUUUUAUGAGUUUAGCAUGCCUAAGAGACUUGGUGAAUUAAUUGCUAAAAGAUAAGAAAUUCUGCAUUUGAUGUUUUGAACCUUGGUUUUUCUGACAGGUUUUUCACCAAGUUGGAGUUAUAGAAUGGAAAGGUGGCUUAAUAAAGGUUAAACUGCACAUAUCCAGCUUUUUAAGAAGGUAUUAUGGAAAUAAAUCCGAUCUCAUUUGAAGCUCUAAUAAGACCUGCAAACCGGGAGGAAAGAAAACAAGGGUCCCCUCUGCUACUGCUGUUGGCUUGCAUUUUCUCCCGGUUGCUGGAGUUGUUGAUGACGUUGCUGCUAAUCUUGACUGCAACCAACGUUUGGGAUGGAGCUCAAAAUUGGAGGCAACGCUAUUGAUGGCUGAGGAUGGAGUCCUACUGUUGUCAACAUGAACUAGCUUGGCUGCCGUAUUUCUCAUAAAAGGGAGGCAACCAUGAGGGACAGGGAUGAUGCUGUUGUUGUGGCGUAGAGAAGAAGUUCGUGCUGGACUGGGGGGGAAGAGGAGACGAAGGCCUCUCCUGUAACACCGAACAAAAGCUUAUAUGGUGGCUUUUGGAGGUUGAAGGGGGUCCUUUAUUCUGCUAGGUCUGUGAGAUGAGGGAGAUGAAAGGUGGUCUUUUCUUUUUGUGUUCUGCUCAGUCUAGGUUACGGGGAUGAACUGAGGGGGAAAAGGGAUAAGUUGAGAGCCAUUUCUGGAGGCCGGGGAAGAAGAAAAGGAAAGGGCUGAGGGGGGGUAGUAUAGGGUUUGUCACCCCCUCUUCUCUUAUUUUUUUUAUGUUUCUCUCUUAUAGGGUUUCUGAUUAUGGCCUCCCUCUAGGGUUUCUAGUAAUUGUAUCCCCCUUUUUUGCAUGCACUAAGAUCUAUAUUUAUAGUG